CACCACCACCACCUUCCCCACCUCCACCAUAUAUUUACAAAUCCCCACCACCUCCAUCACCUUCACCUCCUCCCCCUUACGUCUACAAGUCUCCACCUCCCCCAUCUCCACCUCCCCCUCCCCCAUACAUUUAUAAGUCUCCUCCUCCGCCAUCUCCUUCACCACCUCCACCUUAUGUCUACAAGUCCCCACCACCUCCAUCACCAUCUCCACCUCCACCUUAUGUUUACAAAUCUCCACCUCCACCUCCACCAUCACCCCCUCCCCCUUACAUUUAUAAGUCUCCUCCUCCACCAUCUCCAUCACCACCUCCACCAUAUGUCUACAAGUCCCCACCACCCCCAUCACCAUCUCCACCACCACCAUACAUCUAUAAGUCACCACCCCCACCAUCUCCUUCACCACCUCCACCUUAUAUGUACAAGUCCCCACCACCUCCAUCACCAUCUCCACCUCCACCUUAUGUUUACAAAUCUCCAGCUCCCCCAUCACCAUCACCCCCUCCCCCUUACAUUUAUAAGUCUCCUCCUCCACCAUCGCCUUCUCCCCCCCUCCCUAUGUCUAUAAGUCCCCACCACCACCAUCACCAUCUCCACCACCACCAUACAUCUAUAAGUCCCCACCUCCACCUCCACCUCCACCAUCACCAUCACCUUCACCUCCACCUCCACCACCAUACAUCUACAAGUCCCCGCCACCUCCAUCACCAUCACCUCCCCCACCAUACAUCUACAAGUCCCCGCCACCUCCAUCACCAUCACCUCCUCCCCCUUAUAUGUACAAGUCUCCACCUCCCCCAUCUACGUCUCCCCCUCCCCCAUACAUUUAUAAGUCUCCUCCUCCACCACCUCCAUCAUCACCACCUCCCUAUAUCUACAAGUCUCCACCACCCCCAUCACCAUCUCCACCUCCUCCAUAUGUCUAUAUGUCCCCACCACCCCCAUCACCAUCUCCACCACCACCAUACAUCUAUAAGUCACCACCUCCACCUCCACCUCCACCAUCACCUUCCCCACCCCCACCUUAUGUCUACAAGUCCCCACCACCUCCAUCACCAUCUCCACCCCCACCUUAUGUUUAUAAUUCUCCACCACCACCAUCUCCAUCGCCACCUCCUCCCUAUGUAUAUAACUCCCCACCACCACCACCAUCAUCACCUUCACCACCUCCUCCCUACAUCUAUAAAUCCCCACCACCGCCUUCUCCCUCACCACCCCCUCCUCCAUAUUACUAGACAAAUUAAAUUAUGUUUUUUAUAUUCAUGUAAGUUCCGUUUCGGACAUUAAUUUGUUAAUAAUUUUAUUUCUCUUCUUUUCUCUUGUUUCCAUCCUGUCGUGUCAUCUAAUUUUGAAGAUCUGUUUUGAAUUGCAGAUUAUGUAUUUAUGAAGACAAUAAUUGCUGCAAGAAGCACUGAAAUGAUUUCUUGGUGGCUCAUAUUCAUUCAUUCUGUCUCAAUGAAACACCCUUCUCAAGAGCUAGAACGAGCAACGUGAACUUGAUGCUUCGCAGUGUUUAUAGAAAGAGACUUUUUCUCUGUUCCAGUUUCAUUACUCCAUCGGUUCAUGUCUGUAAUGGAGUGAUUAUUUUUGUUGUAUGUUCGCUUCUUUUAUACUUAUUAUUAUUAUUAUACGCCCUUAAAUAUUUCCUCAAGCCCUUCAGCAAUUAAAUUUGAAUUGAAUAUGAUCUCUUCCCGCUUGAAUUUCUUAGUUACCGUUAAAUUAAUAUUCAAAAAGUAAAUUAUUUUUGAACUUAGGAUAGCGUUACUCUCACUCUAUAGUUUAUUAAUCACACUUCAUAAUAUACUUUAAUUAUUUGAAUAGGCUAAAAUAUCCGUAGUUAUAUUUGUCAUAAAUAGUGAUAGUUAAAAUUUUUAAAAAUAAUAAUAUCAAAUGCGAGCAUUACAUUUAUAUAUAGAAAUAUAACUGAUAGAAUAUUUAGAUUUUAUCUUUUUAAAUCAUUGUUUAUCAUUAAUUUUUUUUUUAAUUUGGUCGUACUAUAUUUCUUUUCUUGUUAAUAAUCUUCUUUUUUUGAGCUUUCAAAUAUUAUAUAUCAAUAAAAUAGUUAUUUCAAAAAAAUAUAAUAUAGUAAUUAAAAUCUGUAAGCUUCAAUUUAUAUACUUUUUUAUUUUUUAGUUGGACUAAUUUAAAAGUUUAAUAAUUAAAAUAUAAUAUCUUAAUAAACUUUAAUCAUGUCAAAAUAAGAUAUUUCAUAAUUAUAUGAAAAACAAAGAGGUAAUAUAGCCUAUUAAUGAAGUAAGAUUAAUAAUUCAUGAACUAUGAAUAACACUGGUACCAACCUUUGAAUGAAACUCUUGCCAGUUAAUUGCCAAACUCUAUAAUAUUAGAGCUAAUUGUAAGCUAGUACGUACCUUUAGUUUGUAAGAAAAAAUAAAUUAAUUAGUCUUAAUGAUCACUUUAGAAACGAUGCAUGUAUUUAAUUUCUACGUAAUUAAAUCAUCUUAGGGUGAUGAAACUCAUUAACUCAUUAACAUACUCUGAAAGUAACGAAGCAGAAAAAAGAACUAAGAAAUGCAAAAAUGAAAGUUAUCCCCAAAAGAUACUCUAGCUAGCUUGCCUGCAAGUGAAACCACCCCAACAUUAUUUUGCACUUCACUCUUCCCUAAUCGAAACCCAUAACCAUUUCGUUACCAAAGCUCUUGAUCACCUUUAGCGCCUCGAAACUUGGCCACCUGCUCCUCCUCAUCUGGUGGUGCUGCAGUUGCUGAAGGCAAUAUAACAGCCUCGCGCUGUGCCGUAACGAUCGACGCGCUUAACCCUUUCCUCGCUCACACAUGCAGCUGCGAGCUCAGGGAUUCUCAUGGUUUGAAGAAUUGAGCUUGCACCAAUCAAGAGCUGUGGCCUGUUCUGGCGAGCUGAAGUUGUGAAUCCGAAGAACUCGAGAGAACCUGACUUUGCUGCAAUUUGACAGAAGGGGAAGUAUCUUGGGACCCAGAAAGCAUCGCCUGCUUUUACUCUUGCAUUCAUCACUUGUGUUCCAUUUGGAAACACAAUCUGUAUUCUGCUGCUUCCACUCAAAACAAUUCCAUACUCUGUUGCUGAUGGGUUCAAAUGUACGUGGUGCCAUCAUUGAUCCCUAAGACAAAAAAUUGCCACAAAAAUAAGAACCAGGAGUUUAACUAAUUCAGUUACGAUUGAACAUGUGGAUGUUCGUCAACAAAUGUAUCACGCAGUUGAUGCAAUUUCUUAACAUAUUCGGUUAGUAGAUAAGUAGGACCCUUUGGAUGCCGUUAAAGAGGAUGAAACUCCAGUAUAUAGAGAGUAUGGAGAAAUCUUCAGUUGACAUUGCUUCUGUUGUGAAUAAAAAAUGCAUAGGAUAUCGUAAAACAUAGUGAACAAUGAGCAGAAACAAGAGACUGAACAAGAACAAUUACCGCGGUGAGGUUAACCAGACAGACACCAAUACCAGAGUGUCGAAGAGGCUGGUAACCAGACUCAUCAAUUGCAGUGAUCCAUCCAUAGUUGUUUCUGAAGUUAGGCCGUCUAUCAUAGAUAUUGAAUGAAUCAGGGGAUUUGCCAUUUUCACAUUUUUUCUUAUUUUCCUGUCCAAAUAUUGAAUUCAAGAGAUUCCUCCAUGACCAUGUCAUUUGCUCCUCUUCUUGAUUAGGUGGUUGUUGGAAUUUCACCAUUCUCUUUAGGUGCUGUAGUCUAUCUUGCUCCUUCAGUUGAAGGAAUUUUCUCCACGGGCUUGGCCUUGGUGCCCUAGAAUCACCUAGGAAAACUAUCGGACUCUCUUGUUGCCUGGUCAUCAUUUCCCUAACUUCAUCUGUUGUUACCUGCAAUGCACAAUUUCAGACUAUAGAAACAAAGAAAUCACUCAAAGAGCAGGAGGCUAGUAGUGGAUGUUUGAUAGGCAACUUUGAUCUGUUUGCUUAUAUUGAAGGCAGUUGAAAUUAAGGGUUUCUAGUUCAAACCAGCAAGAAUGGAUUUUGGUUAGGUUCCCCCACCAAUGAAGAAGGACUGCACACAUAGAAAUCGAGCAGAUGAAAUUCAAUACACAACCUAAAAAAAAUAAGAAACAAGCAGUACAGCGACUUCUCCAAUCAUAUUUUAGCCACAAAUAAUCUUUAGAACUUCCAUGUUGGACUCGCAGCCUCCACGAACAAAACUGUGCUGCCAAAAAGCCUCGAGAUGCAGUGAGAAAAUAUUCCUCUAGUCUUUUUAGAGAUGAUGUACCUGGAAAACACCCAAUCCCAAACUGAUGUGGACCGGGUAGCAAGACAACAAAAGGGCUGCCUAUUGUUGCACAAUCAAGCACGUUUUAUUUUCUUACGUAACAGUUGGAGUUUCCUCUCAUUUCAUUAUUUAGCUUUUACUCUCCCAAUUAAUUCGGGACGUUUCUUUCUGUUUUUUUUAGCUUUUAUUUCCUCAUUAAUUCUGGACUGUUUCCCAAUUUAAUGAAGCUGUUUUAGGACUCUAAGAAUUUUGUUUUCUCUAUUUAUUGGGUUGUAAGCACUUUGUGAGAGAUAGACAGAAUAAAAAAAAACCAAAACUCUUUUGAGUAGUUAACUCAAAUAUCUUUCUUUCUUUGUUUUUCUGCGGAAUUACAGAUUGAAAAACCCUUGUGUGUUAGAACGCGUGUGAGUUCCGUUUGGUCUGCAUCAGGUUGGUAUCAGAGCUCGAUUAGUUAUCGUCGUUAUGGCACCAAAAAGACGCGCGAACCUACCGAACCUUCGUGAACAACCAUUGGAUGAAGUCUACGAACGCGAUGAGAUUGCACGACUACAACAACAAGUCGAGACGUUAACGCAGCAGUUAGCAGCGUCAAUGGCUCAACAUCAGGAUCCAAAUCCACAAGACGUGGAAGAGGAGUCUGAAGGUGAUGAAAAUCCAUUCGCCCAUCAACUAGUGCAGAGGAGACCAGCGCAUGAUGAGUCAAGGCGCUGGGAGACAGGCCUCAAGGUUGACAUACCAGAGUUCCAUGGUGGUUUGCAAGCGGAUGAGUACCUCGACUGGAUCAAUACAGUAGAUGAAGUUUUAGAGUUUAAACAAGUUCCAGAAGAUAGACGAGUAGCACUGGUUGCAACAAAGCUUAGAGGUCGGGUUGGGGCUUGGUGGCAACAGGUGAAGAAGACAAGGACUCUACAAGGAAAAGGAAAGAUCACGUGCUGGGACAAGAUGAAAAAAAAUAUGCGUUCUGCGUUUCUACCAUACAACUAUACACAGACGCUCUACCAACGGUUACAAAAUCUAAAACAGGGAAACCGUUCAGUUGAUGACUACACUACGGAGUUUUAUCAGUUAGUAUCGCGAGAUGCGAUUGCAGAGGAUGAAGAGUCACUGGUUGCGCGAUAUAUUGGCGGACUGCAGAUUCAAUUCCAAGAUGUCCUGAAUAUCUUUGAUGUAUUGAGCGUGUCGGACGCCCACCAGAGAGCAGUGCAGUUAGAGAAACAACUAGUGCGCAGAAAUACAGGGGGUCUGAACUUUGGAGGUUCUGGUGCAAAUACAAGCAAUAACAGCGGACGAACAGGGAGUAUGAAUUUCGGGGGGACCGGUGCAGGCAGUGCAAGUAGCAGUAGCACACGAAUAGCCAUUCCACCAUCUCCUAUUACCAAGCCUAUUAUGCCUACACACGUAACGACGCCUAACACAGGUUUUCGUUGUUUUAAUUGCGGGGAACUAGGACAUAGGUUCACAGAGUGUAAGAAAGGACAGCGGAGAGGUUGUUUUCAGACGUUGAGGAAAUUAACAGGGAACAGGAAGGCGAUGUUGAGGCAGAACCAGUUUAUGAUGAGGAAGAACGUUUAGAGGGGGAUGCUGGACCAAUGUUAAUGAUCCGGCGCAGCUGUUUAGCACCACGCGUGGUAGAGGAUGAUUGGUUGCGCACUAAUGUAUUCCAGUCCACUUGCACAAUUAGUGGAAAAAUCUGUCGGUUCAUUGUUGAUUCAGGUAGCUGUGAAAAUAUAGUGUCCGAGGAGGUGGUCCGUAAACUACACAUGGCAACAGAAUCACAUCCUCGACCGUAUAAAUUAACAUGGCUAGAUAAGAAGAAUGAUGUUACGGUAUCAAGACGCAGCUUGGUGUCUUUUUCAAUCGGCACAACAUACAAAGAUCAGAUUUGGUGUGAUGUGGUCUCCAUGGACGCCUGUCAUUUAUUAUUGGGCAGACCGUGGUUAUAUGAUCGACAUGUGAUGUAUGAUGGGUUCUUGAAUACAUGCACUUUCAUAUUCAAUUCAAUCAAGGUUGUGUUGUUACCAAAAAAAGAAGUUACAGGCGGCACUCUAACAGGAGAAAACAACAAUUUAUUGACAAUGGCUAAGUUUGAAGCAGAAGUCAAAGAAUCUGGAGUUGUCUACGUGCUGAUUGGAAAAAUGGAGGCUGAGAAUGGCAUUAUUCCAAGUAGCGUGGAGCCAUUAUUACAGGAGUUUGGAGAUAUAUUUCCAGCUGAGCUUCCUGAAANNNNNNNNNNNNNNNNNNNNNNNNNNNNNNNNNNNNNNNNNNNNNNNNNNNNNNNNNNNNNNNNNNNNNNNNNNNNNNNNNNNNNNNNNNNNNNNNNNNNAUCAAAUUAAUCUGGUCCCUGGUGCCAACUUGCCCAACAGGCCACAUUAUCGGAUGAGUCCUAAGGAGCAUGAAGAGUUACGGCGCCAAGUAGAGGAAUUGCUAACAAAGGGGCAUAUUCGAGAGAGUCUUAGCCCAUGUGCGGUGCCUGCCCUUCUAACCCCAAAAAAAGAUGGAACGUGGAGAAUGUGUGUCGAUAGCAGGGCCAUUAAUAAAAUUACAGUUCGUUACAGGUUUCCAAUCCCGCGGUUAGAUGACUUGCUGGAUCAGUUGAGUGGAGCCACAAUAUUCACGAAGCUGGACUUGAAGAGCGGAUAUCACCAGAUUCGUAUCCGGCCGGGAGAUGAGUGGAAAACGGCCUUCAAAACUCGGGAAGGACUCUUUGAGUGGUUGGUCAUGCCUUUCGGACUGUCUAAUGCCCCAAGCAUAUUCAUGCGAGUGAUGAAUCAAGCCUUGCGGCCUUACAUUGGUAAGAGCGUGGUGGUUUAUUUUGAUGACAUUUUAAUUUAUAGUGUUGAUCCUAGAAUGCACCUACAACAUCUCCGGGAAGUUUUGACCGUGUUACGUAAAGAACAAUUCUUCGCAGCAAAAGGAAAGUGUGUGUUCUUAAGUGACCAGGUCUUGUUUUUGGGAUACAUUGUGUCUUCUAAGGGGCUUUCAGUAGACGAGACAAAAAUUGAAGCAAUCAAACAGUGGCCACAGCCGCAAACCAUGACUGACGUUCGAAGCUUCCACGGGUUGGCAUCAUUCUACCGCCGCUUCAUUCCCCACUUCAGUGGCAUAAUGGCCCCAGUGACUGAUUGUAUGAGGAACAAUAGCAAGUUUGUGGGACAAUUGAGGUCGAGACAGCCUUCCAAGAAAUCAAAAGGAGAUUGACCACCGCCCCAGUACUUGUCCUACCAGACUUUUCAAACCCAUUUGAGCUACACUGUGACGCCUCAAAGCUAGGAAUCGGGGCAGUUCUGAGUCAAAAUGGCAGGCCUGUAGCCUUUUUCAGUGAGAAGCUUUCAGGGGCAAAAUUACGGUAUAACACCUAUGAUGUUGAAUUUUAUGCAGUGGUUCAAGCAGUGAGGCAUUGGCGACAUUAUCUGUUUCUUCAGGAGUUCGUCCUAUUUACUGACCAUGAUGCCCUCAAACAUAUGGGGAGUCAAGAUAAGAUUUCAUCUCGUCAUGCAUCUUGGGCUGCGUACUUACAACAAUUCACAUUUGUCAUCAAACACAAGGCUGGUACACUGAACCGGGUGGCUGAUGCCCUCAGUCGUCGAAAAAAUAUGCUGGUUGACAUGCGAGUCAAAGUAAUGGGUUUCGACUCUUUUCAAAAUUUGUAUGCAUCUGACCCUUUUUUGCUGCUGUAAUAGAGAACAUUCAGAAUCACCAACAGAGUAACUUUGUCCUCCAUGAUGGAUUCAUCUUCAAAGGCACCCAACUAUGUAUACCUGAGUGUAGUCUCCGAACCAAAAUCAUACAAGAACUGCACAGAGAAGGACAUCUGGGAAGAGACCGAACUUACUUACUGGUGGCUGCGUCCUAUUUCUGGCCAUCCAUGUGGAAGGAGAUUGGUUGUUUUGUUGAACGUUGUAGGGUCUGUCACGUGGCCAAGGGAGGAGCCACCAAUGCCGGUUUAUACAUGCCACUUUCUGUUCCAGUACGACCAUGGACCGACAUCAGCAUGUAUUUUGUUCUAGGCCUCCCGCGUACACAACGGGGAUUCGACUCCAUUUUCGUAGUAGUAGACAGGUUUUCAAAAAUGGUUCACUUUAUACCAUGCAAGAAAACAACAAAUGCUGUUAAUGUGGCUGAAUUAUUCUUUCGAGAAGUGUAUCGGUUGCAUGGGCUGUUAGAGUCAAUUGUGUCAGAUAGGGAACACUCGUUUCCUGAGCCAUUUCUGGCGGAGUCUUUGGAAGAUGGUUAAUACUCACCUAAACUUCAACAGUGCUUAUCAUCCUCAGUCCGAUGGACAAACUGAGGUGGUGAACCGGUCGUUGGGUAAUCUCCUUCGUAGUUUGGUGGGUGAUCAAUUAAAAUCUUGGGACAAGAAACUUGGCCAAGCAGAGUUUGCUCAUAACCAUGCAGUCAAUCGUAGCACCAAGCUCAGCCCCUUCGAAAUCGUGUACGGGUUUCUCCCACGAUGUCCACUUGACUUGGCUAAUCUCCCGAACAACACUAAAGUUAAUCACAAGGCAGAGGAUUUUGUCACCCAGCUGCAGGACAUUCACAAAACGAGAGAUGGAAUGCGCCUUGGUAAAGAAAUCUGCAAUCUGCAAGGAAGAAGGAACAAAAGGCAAAGCAAUGGUGCCAUGUUUGAGAUGAUGACGAGUAAGAUGACAAUCGAUCUCAAUGUGCUUAGUGCGCUCAUGAAAAACCGAGUUAUGAGCAAUCUGAAUAGAACUCUGGUUGUCACAAUACAUAGGAGUAGGAUGAGAAAAGGAAAUUCCCAUAUCAGAAAGUAACCAACGUAACCAAACAAUCUCUUUGGUAGUAGAUGCCAUGGCACGAUAUUCUGCUUCGGUGGAUGAUUGAGAAACAAUAGAUUGUUUCUUGCUCUUCCAAGAAAUAAGAGAAUCACCUAAAAAGAUACAGAACCCGGUAACAGACUUGCGAUCUGUGGGAUCACUACCAUGAUCAGCAUCAGAGUAUGCACGCAACUCCAAGGAAGAGGUGGAUGAAAGUAACAGACUCUGAAAAACUGUACCCCGAAGAUAUCGCAAAAUACGAAGAACAGCUGCCCAGUGAACAGUAGUAGGAGAAGCAACAAACUGACUAACAACAUGAACAGCAUAUGCAAUAUCUGGACGAGUAAUGGUGAGAUAUACCAAACUCCCAACAAUAAUGCGGUAUAAAGUAGGAUCUAUCAAAGGUAAACCAUCAGAAGAAGAGUACCUCGCGUUGACCUCAAUAGGAGUAUCUACAGUCUUGUUAUCAGUAAGUCUAACCCGCUCAAGAAUAUCUGCAACAUAUUUCGACUGAGAAAGAAGGUAACCUCUAGGUGAGUAUGCUACCUCAAUACCCAGGAAAUAUCGAAGAUAACCCAAAUCCUUCAUUUCAAAUCGUCUAGCCAACUCUGUCUUUAAAACUAAAAUACCAUCAAUAUCAUCACCAGUAAUAAUCAUGUCAUCAACAUAUAAAGACAGAAUGAUACGACCUGCAUCAGUGCACUUAAUAAAAAGAGCAGAAUCAUGACUGCUAGAAACAAAGCCAAGAGACGAGAUCACAAUAGAGAAUUUCUCAAACCAAGCACGAGGUGCUUGUUUGAGACCAUAUAAUGCUUUCUUAAGCUUACAAACAUAUCCAGAGUCAUGUGAAAUACCAGGAAGGGGUGCCAUAUAAACUUCUUCUUGAAGAUCUCCAUUCAAGAAUGCAUUUUUAACAUCAAGCUGAGAAAUAUGCCACUGACGAAUCGAAGCUACGACAAUAAGAGUACGAAUAGUAGUCAUUUUUGCAACCGGGGCAAAUGUCUCCUCAUAGUCCAUACCAUACUGUUGAGAGUAUCCUUUUGCAACCAGCCUAGCUUUGUAUCGCUCAAUAGACCCAUCAGAAUUAGUCUUGAUCUUAUACACCCAACGACAACCAACAACACUCUUACCAGGAGGUAGAGGAACCAAAUCCCAAGUAUCUGUUUUAUGCAAAGCAAAAAGUUCCUCAUUCAUAGCUUGCUGCCAAAGCGGAUCAAGAAUUUCCUCUUUAUAGGAAGAGGGCUCAAAGAGACAAUGAAUAGAAGCUAAAAAGGAAGUAAAUGAUGAAGAAUAACAAGAAUAAGCAAAAUCUGGUAGUUUUGUGGACUUACGAAUGCGGAUGGACUGACGUGGAGGAGGAUCCACAAUCUCAGAUGAAGCUUGAGGGGCUGUAGAUGAGAAUGGAGCUUCAGGUGUGUUAGAGAGUAAAGUACCAGUACCUGCAGAGUUAUGAGUACAAAUUGAUCGAACAUAGGGAGAGGUAUCAUUACCAGAAUCCUCAUAAAAAGGAUCUAUAUGAAUAAGAUCAGAUUUUGUCAGGCUAUGAGUAGUGGAUGGAAUAGAAAAGAAAGGUAUAUGCUCAAGGAAGACAACAUGACGAGACACAUAAAGUUUCUGAGUUAUUGGAUCAAAACAACGAUACCCCUUUUUACCUUCACCAUAACCCAGAAAGACAUAAAUAGCGGAUCGAGGGGAUAGCUUACUGCGUUCUACAUGAGGACGAAGAACGAAACAAGUACAACUAAAGACUCUAAAUGAGGAAUAAUCAGGGACAUACCCAUAUAACUUUUCAAAAGGAGAUAGACCCGAACUAUGAGAAGAUGGAAUUGUAUUAAUCAAACUUACAGCAGUAAGAACAGCUUCUCCCCAAAACUCACUAGGAACAAAAGCAGACAACAAGAGAGAACGAGCAGUUUCGACAAUGUGCCUAUGUUUUCUUUCAGCUACACCAUUUUGUUCAGGAGUAUCUGUACAUGAAGUUUGGUGGAUGGUUCCAUCUAAGGCAAGCAUUUGACAAAAUUUAUUAGAGGUGUAUUCCCCACCCAAAUCACACCUAAAGCAUUUGAUCACAGCAGAAUGUUGAGUUUUGAUAAGAGCUCGAAAAGCUGCAUAUAUCUCAAAGAAUUCAGAACGAUGUUUCAUUAAAUAAACCCAACAAUAACGAGUAUGAUCAUCAAUAAAAGAGACAUAAUAUCGAGACCCUCCUUUUGUGGAAACAGGAGAAGGUCCCCAUACAUCAGAAUGAAUCAAAUCAAAUGGUGAAUAUGACACAGAAAUACUUCGAUUAAAAGGUAAAGCAGAAAAUUUUGCCAGUUUACAUCCACUACAAUCAGAAAUGUCACAAGUUUUCAAAUUUUCUAAAGCUCCUGUGGAUGCCAAAAAUCUCAAAUGAGAAGACGAAACAUGACCUAGACGGGAAUGCCAUAAAUAAAAACUAGAAGAUGAAAGACUCAAACGAAAGGAAGACAAAUCAGCAGUAGUAGCAGCAGCGGCAACAUCGGCAACUGGCACUUUUAACUCAUCCAAAAUAUAUAGCCCAUUCUCCCUACGGCCUGUCCCAAUCAGCUUCUGAGACUGCAGAUCCUGUACACAACAAAAAGAACCAGAAAACAUGACUAAAUAAUCACCAGAAUCACAUAUUUGACCAACAGACGCAAGAUUCAAUUUGAGUUUUGGAAUAAGAUAAACAUUAGGGAGAGACAAGUGAGGUGUGACAACAGAACCAACACCUGCUAAGGGCAUAAGAGUGCCAUCAGCAGUCAUAACAGGAAUGGAGGACAAAGGGGACACUGAGGUAAAAGAUGAGGAAUCUGGAGACAUAUGAUGGGAAGCACCAGAAUCCAAGACCCAUUCAGAGUGUGACAUACCUGAGGAACUAUGAGGCAACUGACCUAUGGAAGAAGCGGACAUUGCUUGUGGCUGCAAGGAGAGAAACUUCUGAAAUUGCUCAGCUAAAGUAUUAGGAUCGGUAAUAGAGCCUGGGGAAGCUACUGCUGCAGUAUUGUGGUGUGGUGGUUUAUACCCUUGAGGUGAUCGAUGAGCAUUAGAUUGUGACUGACUGCCAGACUUCCAAGCUUGAUUCUACUGUCUUAACUUAGGACACUGAGCCUUCCAAUGACCUUUCUGCUUACAGAAACUGCACUCAUCGAAGCCAACCCUUGUGUAAGGCUUGUUCUGAUGAUUAGAGAAUGACUUAGAAGGUACUGCUAGUACAGAAGGAUUCGAAGCAGAAAGAAUUCCCUUUUCAGAAUAAGACUGAAGACGUAUUUCUUCAGCCAAUAACUCACUGACAACAGAGUCAACAGAAGACAGUGGAGAACGAUGCAGAAUUGAACCUCUAAGUCCUUCGAAAUCACUGCGAAGUGCUGUUAAAAAUUGUACCAAUCGUUGCUGCUCUCUACGUUCAAUAUAAGCACCACAUGCUUUUAAUUCUGCCGAUUUUGUAAGAGCCAAUUGAUCCCAAAGAUCUGUCAUUGCAGAAUAGAACUCCUGAAUACUCAUAUUCUUCUGGUGAAGAGCUCGUAUGUCAUUCUCUAACUGAUAUUGUUUUGCAAAAUUUGAUUGCGUGAAUAACCGUUGCAGAUGAUCCCAAACCUCCUUUGCUGUCUCAUACUUUGCCAACUGUGUACCUAUAGAAUGCUCAACAGAAUUGUUGAUCCAAGUAAUGAUCUUUGCAUUGUUUGCUUCCCAUGUAUCUAUCGAAACAGUAUCUCCUUCUUCAGUAUUCUUAGGUACCACAUAAGUUCCACUAACAUAUCCCCACAUCUUCUUACCCUUAAGAAAAUUUUUCAUUACAUAGCUCCAAUACGAAUAGUUCUUCCCAUCCAACCUCACACUCACAGACUGAAGCGAAUCAUCUCUUUCAGUAGCCAUAAUCAACAAUCACAGAGAACCAGAAUGCAAAAGCAGCGGAAAACAAAAUACCAAAUUGCAGAAACUGAACAGAGAUUGCAGAAACUAAACAAAUAUCUUCUCAAACUUAUACGAUUACUCCAAAACACAAAACAAAUUUGCAGAAACUGAACGGAAAUACCAAAUUGCAAAAGCUGAAGGGAAGACGAAAUACCAAAAUAAUUGCAGAAACUGACGAAAUACCAAAUUUUGCAGAAGCGGAAGACAAAAUCUCACUCCAAACCCCCAGCCAACUCACCGCAGAGUUGGAUCCGCGAAGUUGUGUUCAGGAUUAAGCCUCGUUUCAUAAAACCAGCUCUGAUACCAUGUUAAAAUAAUUGAGAUCAAAUACAAAAAGGAGGCUACAAUUCUGAAUAAUUUAUUUAUUAUGAAUGCAUAGUCUUAACCUAAAUACAAAUAAAGUAUAUAUAGGUCAAACUGAAAGUACUAUUCUACCCUUAAUAAAUAAGACUACAUAAAUAUUAUUUAACAGCAUAUACAUCGCAUUUUUUUCAGAAUUAUAUGAAUGCAGCAAAAUCGAGAGAUUAUACAGAAGAGUAGAUACUUGUGCGAAUGAAGAGGAUCAAGCUGGAGUGGAUAUACUGAGGAAUAAAAACUGCUCUAGGCUCCAUAGUAAUGAACCCAAUAUGCAUAGCCCUAUCUACAAUCCUUCCACCAUAAUUCCUGAGCACCGUCAUAACCCCAGCAUCAGUUUUAAUCACACGCUUUGAAUCCUGCAACAAGAACCAGUCUUCUUCCUUAUCUCUCUCCGUUUCUUCCCUCUCUCCUCUCCAGUUUUCCUUUUCUUCUCUAUAAAACCCUACUGCCACAGUGACCUCAUAACAGAGCACAAGAAGCAACAGCAGAAGGAUAUCUCUAUUUCCCAUUGUGUUAGUUUUCUCAAUGAGCUAGCUAGCUAGCUUUUCUUGUGUAUUGUAUUGCAGGUGAAAUUUACAUUUGCUUGGUGCGUCAGCAUGAGUAGAAAGGUGGGGUUUAUGAAGGGGCUGAAGGAGAGAUUAGAGGAAAACAAGUGUCAGUCAUGCAGAGUUGUAGAUUUGGUAGCUCAUGUUUGGUUAGACCCAGUUGAGUUCUCGCGAGAAAUAUCAGAUCAAGGUGAGAGGAUCAAAAUAGUUUGUGAUUCGGCUUUAUAUUUAUGUAUUUAUCUACAUGUUUUACCAAAAACAAAAUCCACGUUUUUUACUUGGAUAUUUAGUCACUCAGUCAACCCUAUGAUUUAAGUUAAGGACUCUACCAAGUUAAAUUAUUUUUUUAUUUUAUUAUAUUAUAAAAAAUGCCAAAAUUAAACUAUAAUCAAUCUAAUACUGGACAAUAAAAUUCAAUAAAAAAAAAACCCAUCAUUUUUCUCACAAACAGUCUAUGCACACAAUUAAUAACAUAUUGAAAUUAUUAUAAUUGAGCUUUUCACGUGGGGAAAGUCUUCAAUGUAUAUAGGUAAACAUUGUCCUGAUAUCUAAAUUCUCUUUUACUAUUUUUCUUGAAAAUCAUAAAUUCAUAUAACAAGUUUGUUUGAGAAAAAAAAUAAUAAAACAAGUAAACAUCUAAAUAAAAUAUAUAUACUAUAAAAAUAUGCAAUAAAAAAAUUAACAUUUUAAAAUUUUGUUUAAAUUAAAAAAAAAAGUAUAUUUGCUUACUUAAGAUGGAAAAUUCGCAAUAAAAUUUCAAUCAGAACAUGGAUACCAUCAAACAGAGUAUUGUUGUGACUGGAAAAGUUGUGAAAAGAUGAGUUAUGUUGAGAUGGGGGGAGGUUUGUUUUGUUGCAUAAUGUUUUAAGGAAGAAGUAGAAAUAGAGGGGGGGGGGGAGUCAAGCGCCAAGUCAUAUAUUAAAUAUUAUCAAUGGAUUUACAUAUGAAAUUAUUCCGACGAUGACUCCGUUGACUCCGUUGACAAUUCUAUUGAUAUAAGUGACACGUCACUGUACGGUUUGCUUAUUUAAAUCCCACUGUAAUUUCAUCGGUAACGUCGUGUGUAAAAACUUAAACAUCAUCGAACUAUUUGAUUUUUUUUAUUCUUUCUAUUCCGACUGGGAUUCCCUUAGUAUAUACCGAUGACAUAUUUCUGUCGGUAUUUUCUAAUGAAGUUAGCUAUAGAAACAAUUUGGUAGGUAAAAAUCACCGCAAAAUACUGACAAAAAAAAUCCGUCACUGUUUCUGUUUGUAUUCGUUGAUUUUCUGAUAGUUUACUUACUAAUUUUUUUAUUCAUUUAUAUUUUUCAAAUAUACAAUGGAAUUGUAGUCUUUUUUUUUUUUAUUACAUAAACAAAUUAACUCUAGUAAUUAGGACUUCAACUUUGUUUUCUAAAAUAAGUUAUCGAAUACAUAAUCGCUAUCUAAUUUUAAUUAAUCACAUCUAACUCCUUUUGGUUAGCAAAUCAUUGUUUAUCCAAUUAUAUUAGGAUUCAUUAUUUUGAUUCCUUUUGCUUUAGGAAUUGCUUGCCUGGACAUGAUUGGGGUUGCUAACCUUAUGUUGUAAUUUUCUACUUUUGGUUUUAUUUAUAUAGCUAUCAAAAUGGUUAAGGAAUUGAUUCGAGUAAUUUCACAUGUUUCAGUUAAAACUAUUUAAUUCAAUCAAAACCUUAUUAAUUAUAACUUUCUACUUAUGGUUCUAUUUAAAUAGCUAUCAAAUCCUAUAUAAAUUCAAUAUAUUGAUUUGAAAAUUUAGUGAUUCAUAUAAUUUUAACUCUGAUAUUAAAAUAAUUAAAGAGUUGGCUUGAUUAGAUUCGAGCACCUCAAUUAAAACUUGUUUGAUCUAAUCUGGUGAUGUCCCAAAAUCCAGAAUAUUCAAGCAAUAAGUUAUUUAGUGUUUGGAUAGUGGUUGAUCAAGGUGUUUAAGAAUAUAAUUAUCUUCUCCUUAGCUAAAAAAGUACCAAACUAAUGGUAAAAGCCUAAGUACCUAUAAAAACAAAGUCAAUAAUUUUAUGGAAAAAACAAUAAAUAAUUCAAAAGAGCCUUAAGUUCCAAGAACAAAAGUGUUUGUUCUUGUAUUUUAGAAUGAUUAAUGCUCCGAAGUAUAUGCAAGCUAUUUAGAGUUGAAAAAGUUCUGAACCUCUUACCUGGAUGGUUCAAGAGGUAUUUAUAAACCUUAAACCUUGUUGUCUUCAGAGAAGAGAAAGACUAAAAAGUUAUUUGCUUUCUGUAGCAUUAAUGAGAGACAAAUAUCCCUUAUACACCAUUAAUGAGAAACAAAUAUCUCUUACACAUUAUUAAUGAGAUGGUAUGUGUGGUGGACUCCCUAAGUGACUUUUUAUACAUCUAUAAAUAUAGAGAGAUCAUUACAUUUGAUAUGAAUAAAUCAUAUAACCAUUCUAAAAGUAGGACUCCUUAGCCCUAUACACUUAAGACCUGAGAUGUAGCCCAACUUCGAUAAAAAAUAAAAAAGGUGUGACGGUUUAUCUAAUCUGUAGCACCUCUUGUUUAAUUGAGCAUCUGGAUCUGACAUACUACUAUACUCAAGUUACCUUGCGUUUGACUAAUAACUAAACCCAAGCGUAUUGGGUCUGGUAUUUUGUCAGGUCUAUGUUACCUUGGGUUUAGCUGAUUGUUGAACCUAAGUGUGUUGAGUCUUGCAAACUGUCAGACCCAUGUUAUCUUGAAUUUAGCUAAUUGCUGAAUCCAAGUGUCUUGAGUUUGGCAUUUCGCCAAGCUUAUGUUGCCUUAGGUUCUUCAGCUGAUUGUUAAACCCAAGUUUCUUGGGUUUCACAUUUCACCAGGCUCAUGUUGCCUUGGACUCAACUAAUUAUUGAAUCUAAGAGUCUUGAGUUUGGCAUUUCAUCAGGUCCAUAUUGUUGCCUUGAGUGCAGCUGAUUCGUGAAUCUAAAUGUGUUGGGUCUGGCAUAUUGCCAGGCCCACAUUACUUUGGGUUCAGCUAAUUGCCAAACCCAAGUGUAUUGGGUCUUGCAUGUUGCUAGAGCUAUGUCGUCUUGGGUUUUUUCAAGCAAUAAAAAUAUAAACAAAAAAAUAUUGACUUAUCACAAUCAAAGCUUUUCUUCUCGUUGUUUCUUCUUCUUGUUGUGAUGCUUUUAUUCAUGUACAAUUUGUUUGAACAAUUUCUUUUCUUACAAUAAGCGAUAUUAUAAGAACUUCAUGAAUUUUUUUUUUGAAAGAAUUGUAUUAAAAAGAGAAUUCAACUCUCUUGCAUUAUAAUUCAAUAUCAAUUCAAAGUUAGUAACCUAAAAUGUGUCUCAUUAAUCCUCUUUUUAGAUAAUUUAAUUAGUUCUAACUAGUUUAACCUGCUUGCAUUUUUGCUAUGGGUUUAAACAUAAAAAGACACAUUUAGAUCGUUAAAAACUUUACAACAUUGUUAUUAAACUCGGUAUAAUAAUUUAAACUUGAAAAAUCCCUACCUAACUUUUUAAUUGAUAUUUAGUCAGUCUAUCAACCCUAUGAUUCAGGUUAAGGACUCCACCGGGUCAAAUUAUUUUUUUAUUUUAUUAUAUCAUAGAAAAUACCAAAAUUAAUUAUCAUCAAUCAACCCAAUACUGAAUGAUAAAAUUAAAAAAAAACCCUCGUUCUUCUCACAAAUAGUCUAUGCCCAUAGUUAAAAAUAUAUUAAAAUUAUUAUAAUCAAGGGACCAUAUGUUAAACACACCGUUAAUUAUAUAUCAAAAUAAUUAUAAUCAAGUUUGUAGACCUGGAAGUCUAAAUAAUCGAGCUUUUCACGUGGGGAAAGUCUUCAAUGUAUAUAAGUAAACAUUGUCCUGAUAUCUAAAUUAUCUUUUACUGUUUUUCUCCAAAGAAAUUAGACGAGUAAAAAGUUUAAGAUAAGAAUUGUAAAAAAGAAGUAAUUAUCGUAAUAAAAGACAUUCAUUUAGUAUUAUCCAUAUAUUAUUACAAUAACUAAUGUUGUAUGAUAUUAUUUUGGCAUGAUUGAUACAGUCCACUUUCCUUCAAUUGAUUACAUUUUCAAUACAUGCAUUAUCUAAUAUAUAGUCUCUUCGAAGAAACCCACUGCCAUCAUUAACCAUAUAUAAUCUGAAAAAAAAAAAACAAUUAGAGAUUAAUAUUGGUAACGAAAUAAAACUAAAAAAAGAACCAUGUUAUCGAAAUAAACAAUCUAUUAAAAAGAAAGUUAAAAGAACUGACCAAUUUUGUAAGAUAUUUUUGAACGAGGUGGAGGUUAAUUAUUGGAUGAAGCAGGUGAUGGAGAUAGAGGAGGUGGGGAUUUAAAGAAAAAGGGAGGCAAAAAGAACCAUGGAGGAGGUGGAGAUUUAAGGAUAUGUGGAGGGGGUGAAGGAGAUGGAGGUGGCGGGGAUUUAAAGGGGAAGAAGGUAGGAAAUGUAAACCUCAGAGUAGGUGGAGAUUUGAGGAUAGGUGGAGGGGGAGAAGGAGAUGGAGGUGGCAGGGAUUUAAAGGGAAAGAAGGGAGGAAGUGUAAACCUCGGAGGAGGUGGAGAUUUGAGGAUAGGUGGAGGGGGAGAAGGAGAUGGAGGUGGCGGAUUUAUAAUGAAAGAAGGGAGGAAGUGUAAACCUCAGAGGAGGUGGCGGAUUUAUAAUGAAAGAAGGGAGGAAGUGUAAACCUCAGAGGAGGUGGAGAAUUGAGGAUAUUUGGAGGGGGAGAAGGAGAUGGAGGUGGCGGGGAUUUAAAGGAAAAGAAGGGAGGAAGUGUAAACCUCGGAGGAGGUGGAGAUUUGAGGAUAGCUGAAGGGGGAGAAGGAGAUGGAGGUGGUGGGGAUUUAAAGGGGAAGAAGAGAGGAAGUGUAAACCUCGGAGGAGGUGGAGAAUUGAGGUUAUGUGGAGGGGGAGAAGGAGAUGGAGGUGGCAGGGAUUUGAAGGGAAAGAAGGCAGGAAGUGUAAACCUCGAAGGAGGUGGAGAUUUGAGGAUAGGUGGAGGGGGAGAAGGAUAUAGAGGUGGCGGGGAUUUAAAGGGAAAGAAGGGAGGAAGAGUAAACCACGGAGGAGGUGGAGAUUUGAGGAUAGGUGGCGGGGGUGGAGGAGAAGUAUAACGAGGUGAUGGAAAUGGUGAAAUUUUUGGAGGGUAUGUCGGAGGAGUAUAAGGAUGUGAUGGAGAUAAAUUAGGAGUUGGGGAUGGGGAUAGUAAUGGAAAUGGUGAAACUUUUGGACAGGGUAUCGGGGAAGUAUAAGGAUGUGAUGGAGAUAAAUUGGGAUUCGGGGAUGGGGAUAGUUGUGAAAUUGGUGAGAUUUUGGGAGAAGUAUAAGAAGACGAUGGAGAUAAAUUGGGAUGCGGGGAUGGGGAUAGUGAUGGAAAUGGUGAAACUUUUGGAGAGGAUGUUAGAGAAGUAUGAGGAUGUGAUGGAGAUAAAUUUGGAGUUGAGGAUGCGGAUAGUGGUGAAAUUAGUGAGAUUUUUAGUGAAGUAUAAGAAGGGGAUGGAGAUAAAUUGAGAUGCGGGGAUGGGAAUAGUGAUGGAAAUGGUGAAACUUUUGAAGGGGAUGUCGGAGGAGUAUGAGAAUGUGAUGGAGAUAAAUUAGGAGUUGGGAAUGGGGAUGGUAAUGGAAUGGGUGAAAUUCUUGGAGGGGAUGCUGGUGAAGUAUAAGGAGGAGAUGGAAAUAAAUUUGAAGCCGGGGAUGGGGAUGGGGAUGGAAUUUGUGGAACUUUUGAAGGGGAUGUAACUGGAGAAAUAUAAGAAGGCAAUGGAGGUAAAAUGGGAGCUGAAGAUGGGGUCGGAGGUGAAGCUGAUGGCAAUGGUGGAGAUUUUGCUGAUGGUGCAGGAGAUUUUGCUGGUGGUGGUGGUGGUGGAGAUUUUGCUCGUGGCGGCGGCCGAAGGUGAUGAAUUUUUGGAGGUGGUGGGGGCAUUUUCUUUUUAUUUGGAGGUGGUGGUGAUCAAGGGGGCGACGGUGUUCCUCGAUUCAGAAGUCCUGAUGGUUGAAAUACAGAGUUUUUAUGAUUAUAUGGUAAUGGUGGAUCUUCGUGAUCAUGAGGUGGACUAGGAGGUUCCUCAUUAUCAUAAAUAUUGGCCGCCGCGUUAAUUGCUAGUAAGCCGAAAACCAUGGCAUGCACAAGAUGACACCGAGAUGGUGACGCCAUCCUUUCGAACUCUUCCCAAUAAUCACAUCGCUAAUUAUAUAUCAAAGUAAUUAUAAUCAAGUUUAUACACCUGGAAGUCCAAAUAAUUGAGAUUUUCACGUGGGGAAAGUCUUCAAUGUAUAUAGGUAAACAUUGUCCUGAUAUCUAAAUUCUCUUUUACUGUUUUUCUCCAAAGAAAUUAGACGAGUAAAAAGUUUAACGAUAAGAAUUGUAAAAAAAGAAGUAAUUAUCGUAAUAAAAGACAUUCAUUUAGUAUUAUAAUGCUUUUCAACAAACAUAAUAUUUUCCUCCAUAUUAUCCAUAUAUUAUUACAAUAACUAAUUUUCUAUGAUAUUAUUCUGGCAUGAUUGAUGGAGCACAAUCGACUUUCCUUCAACUGAUUACAUUUUCAAUACAUGCAUUAUAUAAUAUGUAAGUCUCUUCGAAGAAACCCACUGCCAUCAUUAACCAUAUAUAAUCUGAAAAAAAAAACACAAUUAGAGAUUAAAUAUUGGUAAAUUAAAAAAAAAAGAACCAUGUUAUCGAAAUGAACAAUCUAUUACAAAGAAAGUUAAAAGAACUGACCAAUUUUGAUAGAUAUUUUUGAACAAGGUGGAGGUUAAUUAUUGGAUGAAGGAGGUGAUGGAGAUAGAGGAGGCGGGGAUUUAGAUUUAAAGUGAAAGAAGGGAGGAAGUGUAAACCUCGAAGGAGGUGGAAAUUUAAGGAUAUGUGGAGGGGGAGAAGGAGAUGGACGUGGCGGGGAUUUAAAGUAAAAGAAGGGAGGAAGUGUAAACCUCGGAGGAGGUGGAGAUUUGAGGAUAGGUGGAGGGGGAGAAGGAGAUGGAGGUGGCGGCGAUUUAAAGUGAAACAAGGGAGGAAGUGUAAACCUCGGAGGAGGUGGAGAUUUGAGGAAAGGUGGAGGGGGGGAAGGAGAUGGAGGUGGCGGGGAUUUAAAGUGAAAGAAGGGAGGAAGUGUAAACCUCGGAGGAGGUGGAGAUUUGAGGAUAGGUGGAGGGGGUGGAGGAGAAGUAUAAGGAGGUGAUGGAAUGGGUGAAAUUUUUGGAGGGAAUGUCGGGGGAGUAUAAGGAUGUGAUGGAGAUAAAUUGGGAGUUGGGGAUGGGGAUGGUGAUGGGGAUGGAAUGGGUGAAAUUCUUGGAGGGGAUGUCGGGGGAGUAUAAGGAUGUGAUGGAGAUAAAUUGGGAGUUGGGGAUGGGGAUGGUGAAACUUUUGGAGAGGAUGUCGGGGGAGUAUAAGGAUGUGAUGGAGAUAAAUUAGGAGUUGGGGAUGGGGAUGGGGAUGGGGAUGGAAUGGGUGAAAUUCUUGGAGGGGAUGUCGGGGGAGUAUAAGGAUGUGAUGGAGAUAAAUUGGGAGUUGGGGAUGGGGGUGGUGAAACUUUUGGAGAGGAUGUCGGGGGAGUAUAAGGAUGUGAUGGAGAUAAAUUAGGAGUUGGGGAUGGGGAUGGGGAUGGGGAUGGAAUGGGUGAAAUUCUUGGAGGGGAUGUCGGGGGAGUAUAAGGAUGUGAUGGAGAUGAAUUGGGAGUUGGGGAUGGUGAUGGAAAUCGUGAAACUUUUGGAGAGGAUGUCGGUGGAGUAUAAGGAUGUAAUGGAGAUAAAUUGGGAGUUAGGGACAGUGAUGGAAUGGGUGAAAUUCUUGGAGGGGAUGUCGGGGGAGUAUAAGGAUGUGAUGGAGAUAAAUUGGGAGUUGGGGAUGGGGAUGGUGAAACUUUUGGAGAGGAUGUCGGGGGAGUAUAAGGAUGCGAAGGAGAUAAAUUAGGAGUUGGGGAUGGAGAUGGAAUGGGGGGAAUUCUCGGAGGGGAUGCUGGUGAAGUAUAAGGAGGAGAUGGAGAUAAAUUGGAAGCCGGGGAUGGGGAUGGUGGAACUUUUGAAGGGGGUGUAACUGGAGAAAUUUUAGAAGGCAAUGGAGGUAAAAUGGGAGCUGAAGAUGAGGUCGGAGGUGAAGCUGAUGGCAAUGGUGGAGACUUCGCUGGUGGUGGCGGGGGUGGAGACUUUGCUGGUGGUGGAGGUGAUUGUGUUUUCUUCUUUUUUGGAGGUGGUGGGGGCGUUUUCUUCUUAUUUGGAGGUGGUGGUGAUCGAGGCGGCGGCGGCGGUGUUCCUCGAUGAAGAAGUCCUGAUGGCAGAAAUAGAGAGUUUUUAUGAUUAUAUGGUAAUGGUGGGUCUUCGUGAUCAUGAGGUGGCCUAGGAGGUUCCUCAUUAUCAUAAAUAUUGGCCGCCACGUUAAUUGCUAGUAAGCCGAAAACCAUGGCAUGCACAAGAUGACGCCGAGAUGGUGAUGCCAUCCUUUCGAACUCUUCCCGAUAAUCACACUUGCUCUCACUAAUUAGCUUCUGAACAAGGAAUGGACGUGAAGAUUUGCUUUUAUAGUUGUGUUUUUAGUGUAUAAAGACGAGUUGAUCCCCUGUGUAUUUCGGUAAUUGAGGAGGCCUAUCUAAUGGAAUAAUAAUCACAGCUAGGGGUUGUACCCUUUGGGUAAUUAACAUAGCAUAACUGUAAUUUUAGUGGACUUUUUAAUUGAAGGGACCAUUUAAUCCUAUGGUUUAUUAGGUGUAACCACAAUUAGAAAUCUUCUUAUAGAGACGCUACAAGUCAGUUUAGUUUAGUGGACCAUCUAAUCCUAUCUUAGGAGGUAUGCUAAAACCUCUCCAUCGGUUCAGUCAGUUCUUAGCAUCUAGCACCCCAUCCUCAUCACUAAACGAAAAUGAAAAGCACUAAUUGAUUUAUUAUGAGUGCAUGGUGAAUAAAAAACUAUUAAUCAAUAAAAUUUGUCAAGUUUUAAAAAUUUAUUUUUCUUUUUUAUUGUGACUUUAUAGAAUGAGAAACUUUAUGGCUUGUUGUUGUUGGGUUUUUAGUAAACCAUGUGUUAAGUUUCAUAGAUAAAUUUUAAAGGUAUUUUUGAAAUGAUAUUUUUUAUUUGAAAUUAUUGUAGCAAAACAAAGGUUCUUUUAUUUGAUUUGUUUUUGGUUAUUUUUUAUUAUCAAUAUCAUAAAAAAACACUCUAAACACAAAAAUUAAUUUAACCCUUGAAAUUGAAUUCAAUUCCAAGAGUUCCAAACAGCAAAAUAAGGAACCACCUUCAUAUAUAUAUAUAUAUAUAUAUAUAUAUAUUUCUGUUUCUCUAGUUGACUAUCAUGAGGGUUCUCCAAUAUUAUUCUUUUCUUUCACUUUAAUAUCGUGGCGUUAAAUUAUAUAUAUUUGAUCAUGUUAGUUAUUUAGUGUUUUAAUUAGAUAGUGGUUAAUCAAUAUUUUUAUUUUAGGAGAUCGUCUAGGAUCAAACACAUAGCCUUAGAACUUGGUAAUGGUUGAAUCAAAAUGUUUCGGGUCUGGUAUAUCUAUCAGACCCACGCUGCCUUGAGCUUGGAUGACCGCCAAACUCAAGUUCUUUGGGCUGGCAUGUUUGCCAAACCCACGUUACUUUGAACUUGGCUGAUGGUCAAGUCUAAGUUUAUUGGGUCUGACAUGUUUGUUAGACCCCACUACCUCGGACUUGGCUGACUACGAAGUUCAAGCUCUUUGAGUCUUGUAUGUUUGUCAAACUUACGCUAUCUUGGACUUGGUUGACUGUCAAGUCCAAGUUCUUUGAGUCUGUCAUGUUUGCUAGACCCACGUUAUCUUGGGCUUGGUUGAAUGUCAAGCUCAAGUCAUUUGGAUCUGACUUGUUUGCCAGACCUAAACUAUCUUGAACUUAGUUGACUAUUAAAUUCAAGUUCUUUAGGUCUAACCUAUUUUUCAAAUCCAUUUUAUUUGGUUAAGAUUUUUUAUUUAUUUAUAAAAAUCUUAACCAAAUAUUUUGACUCAUCAAUAUUAAUUAGCCCUUAACUUCUGAAUACGAUAUCCAAUGCAUAAUAUGUCAUCCCCCUGGCCUCUUAAACCUUAAUAUAAUCUUUAGGAUAGCAAAUGAGUUAUGUGUCUCUUAAUUAUAUUUUCCUAACAAGUAGAAGUAAUGUAUUUCUUUAGUUCAACCGGCCUUAAUUACCAUUUGUCUGUAUCAAUUAUUGGAUUUUUAUUUUUUAUUUAAUAUUGUAAUAUCAUUUGAAUGCUCAUGGAUGUGCCACCUUAAUAGAUCCAUAACAAUUCAUAAAUCCAUUUCUUAAAACAAAUAUGAAUCAAUUAGAUUUACCUAUCAUGUGUUUCAGAAAAGAUUUUAGAGAUUUUUUUGUUAAUUAUCUAAAAAGAAGAGCCUUUCAUUUCACUCUUACUCUAUAUCCAUUAUUUAAGCAGUCUAGUUCACACCUUGAAGCUUAAAAAGUUGAAAAGGUUAAGUGCUUUAUUUCUCUUCUUUCUUAGGUUUGCAGCUUAAAAACUGUAGUAAUCGAUGAUAGCUACAAUAUAAAGCCUUUCUUAUUAUUCAUCACCUGUAAUUUGUUUUCUAUUUUGUGGUUAGAGCGACUCAACAAUACUAUUUACAUUAGGUUUUUUAUUUUUUAAAAACUAAUUAACAUCUGUUUAUUAUUGUGCUUUGAUUAUUGUAUUAUAUAUAGUAUAUUGUAUUAUGUUGUUUUACACUAUGAGUUGAAAGUUGUAUUAGUAAAAAUAGUUUUAUGUAAUUGACUAUUUUGCUUUUAAAAUAAUUUUAUAUCAUCAUUUGUGUUUCCUUUCUUUUACUUGGUUUUGAAUUUUUUUUUUUGUCUAAAUUUUAGAAUUUUCAUCUAGAUUAUUCUUAUUCUUGCAUUGUAUGCAAAGAUUUCAUUUUUUCUGGAUUGUAUAGCUUCACUACGAGAUUUCACAGUUUUUCCGACGAACCGAAUCCGUCGGUGUGAGAUUCAGACUUUGUCUGUAAUACCCCAUUCCGUCGCUAAGUCUGUCGGAGAAAAAAAAAUACCUAUAGUUUUAUAGACGGAAAAUGCGCGCAAAACAAAAAAACUUCCAGCUAGAAAUAUACCGAUGCAUAUAUUCAGUCGGUGAUAGUGGCAUAUCCAGUAAAUAUAUUUCAACUCUCGGUAAAAUGCCGACGAAUGUUAUCCUUCUGUGAAGGCGUCGGUGAUUGUGGCAUUGUUAGUAAAUAUUUCUCAACUCUCAGUGAAAUGCCAACAGAGACAGUCUGUCGGUAAAUCCAUCGGUGGAGUUUUUAUUUUUUUUAAAAAAAAAAAUUAUUUAGAAUAAAUAAUAUAAAAUUACAUAAAUUAAUAGUAAAAAAACCAAUUAUGCAAAUAAAAUUUUAUUAAACAUCAAAAAUAAAAAAAAUAAAGUUAAAUAAUAUUCAUUACAAAUUUAAUGUGUUUCCAAAAAAUAUUAAACUAGAACAAUGGUGGAGGUGGAGGAGGCUGGUUGUUCCCGGGACCAUACGGCCAAAAAGAGGGCGCACAUGUAUCACCACUCUGUGAUGUAAUCUUCAUGACCAUUUGGUGCAGUUGCUCAUAAUUCGCCGAGAGUUACUCGUAUUUUUCGGUGAGAUGAGCUAUGUGUUGUUCAUAAUUCGCCGAUAGUUGCUCGCAUUUCUCGGUGAGAUGAGUCAUGUGUUGUUGCAAGGCCACGAACUCCUUAGAUUGGGUGCUCGAAACUGAUUGGGAGCUCCCAACGGUUGAGACACUACGGGUCGCCCGCAAGUUAUCGGUCGUAGUGUUGGAGAGCUCGUACACCCGAUUUUUAUCGGAUCCACUGGACGAUCCUACCUCCAUUCUCAAAUCCGUCGAAAUCUGGAUGGGUCGAAGGAUUGUCCCCACUACCAUAAUCUUUAGAUUUACCGACAGAAUUUUCCGUUGGUAUUUGUACUAUCAUUCCGUUGGUAAUUAAUUUACCUACGAAAUCACCGAUGGAAAUGCUCCGUCGGUGAAUCUUUCGUCGGUAAUUUUUUUUUCCGUUGGUAAUAAAAAAUAUUAUUACCGAUGGAUUUACUAACGGAAAAGGUGCUCAAAAAAAUUAUCUGCUUCAUUCCAUCGGUAUUUCCCUCAGAAACAUACCGUAUGUAAUUCCAUUGGUAAUUAUUUAAAAAUAUUUUUUUAAAAAUCCAUUUUACAAAACUAUAAAAUAGUUAAUUUAACAUAAAUCAACACUCUAUAAUACUCAAAAUGCUUGGAAAAAAGAAGAAAAUCAUAUGAAAAAAAAAUCCUACAACAAUAUUCAUACAAUUAUUAAGAACAAAAACAAUUAAAAAUAAAAUAAAAAACAAAUAUAGUGAAAAAAAACAAGAAAAAAGAAGAAGAAAAAAUCUUACCUUAAUUUGGUUGCUAGUGAAGCUAAGAAGAGAAAAAAAAAACAAAUUUGUAAAGUAUAUUAAUUAAAAAAAAAUGAGAAGAAAAAAGAAGAAAGGAGAAGAAUACAUACCUAAACGUGGAGAAGAAGAGAAGGAGUUGAGGAGAGAAGAGAAGAGAAGAGAAAGAAAUGGAUAUUGAUGUUUUUUACAUAUGGGGAAGAAGAAGAAGAAGAAGAAGAAGAAAGGAGCCUUGUCUGUUGUGAAAUUAUGGAUUCUAGGCUUUUUACCGACGAAUAAUUAAAUAUUAAUAUUUUUAAUCAUUCAAUCGAUGAUUCCGUCUGUAAUAUUUAAUUUAAAAUUUCAAUUAAUCAAAAAUUUUUAGAAACCGCAAAUAUCACCGACGACUUUUCAAUCCGUCGGUGAUUCCGUCUGUAAUAUUUAAUUAAAAAUUUUAAUUUAAUCAAAAUUUUUUAGAAAACCGCCAAAUAACAUCGACAACUUUUCAAUCCGUCGGUGAUUUUGUCUGUAAAGAACAGUAAUUAAUAGUGCAAUUAGGAAGUGAACACUUCCAGAGUUCUCUGGAAAAUACCGACGGAAAUUUCCGUUGGUGAUUCCCUUUGUAAUUGACAUGAUGAACAAUGUUUAUAGUUUACCAACGAAUUUACCGAUGGAUUUUACCGACGAAAUUUAUUACGUUGGUAAAAAUGGCAAGUCAUCGUUUUUUUUUGCUUUGUUUUAAUUAUUUUUUUCCCACUGUAAUUCCUUUAGUAAAUACCAAGGGAAUAUUUCCGUUGGUAUAUCCGUCGGCAAUUUAUCAAUGAAAAUAUUCCCUCGUUAUUUUCGUUUGUAUUUAUCGAUUUUCUGGUAGUGCCCCAUAUCUCUCCCUCAAUCGGCUAUUAUAGGUCUCCUGAAAAUGAAAAAAGAAAUCAUCAUAUUCAAUUCAAUAAAAAUAAUAACUUCCAAAAUAAAAUGGUUGAACGAACAUACCACAAAGUGUUGAGCGCGGUUGUCAACGAACUGUUGCACCCUCUUUUGGCGGUCUUCACUCCGCACAUGCGUCUCUACAAACAGCUCCAUUAGGUUUGGCUCAUGUCCAAGAGACGUAGCCUGUAAGAAAAAAAUUAAUUAAGUAACAACAAAUUAAUUAACUAUAUAUUUUAUUUAAAUUAAUCUUACCAUCCGUUUCACAGGUGCAACAAACGGAACGGAGCCGCCGGUGUGCGUUGUCACCGAACCAUGAAUUUACCAGUUUCGGUUGCCCACACUAGACUGUGAGCGUCGUGUGAACCGCUCAGACAUCACGUGCUCAAUAUAUUGCUGCCAAAUAUCUCCCGGGAUGUAUAGUGGUUUGAAAUCCCUCCAAACCGCCACGUCGUUCCAACCUUGGAGACUGUUAUCUCUCGCGUUUUUUUUUUUUGCCUUUUUUUAUGCUUCAUACCAAAAAUUACGCAACCUACUUCCAUUGUGACAAAUUAGAUUUUAAAACAUAAUUUUUUUUAAAAAAAAUAUCAUAUUGUUUUCGAUGUUACCUAAUUGCUGCGUGAUUUUCCCACACCCUCCUCACAACAUUGUAAAGCGUGCUAUCCCAGUCGAAUUUGUCCUGUGUAUAAAUAAUUUAUUUAAAAUAAAAUAAUAAUUUAUUUAUAAUUAUAAUAAUAAUAAUUUAUUAAAAAUUAGAUGGAAAUUAGAAAUUAACACCAACCUCAAAUUUGUCAAACCAUGCAUCGAUAUAAGGUCUCCAUUCAGGAUGUCUGGAAACCUGACUCUAUUUAAAUAAUGGAAUCUCCAUCAAUGAUAUUACUUGGGCAACCUCAAUGUUGGUGAACUUGAAAAUAAAAUAAAUUAAUGAAAUAUUGAUUAGUUGUUCAUAAAUUAUGUUAUAAUUAAAAAAACUAAAACCGAAACAAACUUGUAUAGAAAGGUUGUCUUUUCAAUGUGCCUCGUACUUGCAGGUGAAUGGAUUCCGCUGUGAAGGCACAUCGCCUCUACGCUGUGAAACCACGCUGGAAGAGACAGCAUCGCGAGUCGGCGCAGGUGCCUCUUCUUGAUCGGCACCUAAGGACAUUUCAUCCUUACUGCUAGAAGAACUAGCUGCGACCAUAUGUGAGUGACAAGCUGUUGAUUUCGUUCUAUGCAUCUACAUAAUUUUAAACGACUAAUUACAUAAUUAAAUUCGAUUAUUAAAAAAAAAUAGGCAGCACCUCCCCUAUACUAGAGACUACCCAAAGUUUUCAAACCUGCAAAUAUUGACAAUAGCCACAACCUGAGUAAUAGUUGGCAUUCAUUUAAGAGCAAACUCAAUCUACCCUUCCAAUCAUCCAAUUAUUCGAGCAGACUCAAAUAUUGAUAACAUCACAAUCAUAAUUUACAAACAUAACAAAGACUAAAAGUUAAUUGACAUGUAUUUUUAGUUUUAAACUUCAUUUACACAACAAAAGAUAGACAACAAGUUUUACACUACUGAAGAAAGUUUAAAAUAUACACACACACAUCGCCAUUACCUAAAUUAAAAAUACUAGCAAUAAACUGAGAUAAAAAUAAUAGCACACAAAUUAAUCACAUAUCAUCUUUCAUUAUCCUUAUCAUAAAAUUAAUGGAAAUAAUUAAACACAUAACAUGCAAUAAUAGAGUAAAAUUAAGAUAAAAUAAUUAAAUUUAUUCCUAUAUAUUCAAUUACUAAUUACAAGGUAAAUUCAACAAUAACAAUUAAAAUUCAACAAAGUAUUCAAUUAUUAUGGCAAUACAAACAAUAAAAUAUAUUCAACAAUAUAAAAAAAAUGAUGGAGGGAAUAUCAUCUCAAGUUUGCAUAGUGUCUCGACGAUAUUUGUUUCAAGCCUCUCAAUGUGAUCAACAUUCAACUUGCUGGAGCAUAUAUCUCUAAAAAAAUGAUUGAUCUCCGUGAGUGUAUCUCAUAUUCCUUUUGGUAACAAAUCACGAUAAGCUAAUGAAAUGAGUGUUUGCACAAACACGUGGCAGUCAUGACUCUUCAUUCCAUACAAUCUGCAUUCCUCUAUAUUAACCAACCUUGAUAUGUUCGAGGCAUAUCCAUCGGGAAAACGCAGACUCUUAAGCCAUUUGUAGACUAAUAGUCGUGCAUUUUUCUUUAAAACGAAACUUGUUCUUGGUUUUGCGACCCGUGACCCAUCACAAACCAACUCCAUAUUUUUACGGUUACAUAACAAAGCUAUAUUCAAUCUAGCCUUAAUGUUGUCCUUUGUCUUCCCCUUCACAUCCAUAACGGUGUUGAAAAUGUUCUCAAACACGUUCUUUUCUAUGUGCAUGACGUCAAGGUUAUGGUAGAGGAGAUUGGUCUUCCAAUAAGAUUGGUCUUCCAAUAAGAAAGCUCCCAAAAGAUACUUCGCUUUACCCAAUUAUGGGUCAAACCAAAACCACUACAAGAUUUCACAGUUUUACCGACGGAAACAUUCCGUCGGUGUGUGAUUAGAAGUUCGUCGGUGAUUUUUUUACCGACGUCAUCACCGACGGAUUACGUCCGUCGGCUUUACCUUCGUCGGUGAUUCCCCAUUCCGUCGCUAUAUCGGUCAGAAAAACAAAAAAACCAUUUGCCGAUGGUUUUACAGACGGAAUUUGCGCGCCAAAAAAAAAGAUUCCCGCUUGAAAUAUACCGACGGAUUUUUAUUCCGUCGGUAUAUUGUGAUUGACCGACGGACAAUAACCGUCGGUAAAUCUGUCGGUGAGUGUAUGAAAUACCGACAGCAUAUGUCCGUCUGUAAAUUCGUCGGUAAUUGUGGAAGCUACUGUUACAUGCCGACGGAUUAAUUCCGUCGGUAAGUCUGUCGGUGAGUGUUUAAAAUACCGACCGAAUUCAUCUGUCGGUAAAAUCCUUGAUAAUAGUUUUUUUCUUAAUUUGUUUUUAAAAAAUUAUUUAGGAUAUAUAAUAUAAAACUAUAUAAAUUAAUUGUAAUACAAACCAAUUAUGCAAAUAAAAUUUAUAUUAAACAUAAAAAAAAAACAAAGUUAAAUAAUAUUCAUUACAAACUGAAUAUGUUUCAAAAAAAAUAUUAAAUGAAGUUUUAAAGGUAAAUAAUGUUGAUUACAAAUUAAUAUAAAGAUGAUGGAGCUGGAGGAGGAGGAGGAGAUCCUGGCGGAGGCUGGUGGUUAUACGGCCAAAAAAGAUUAGGCGCACAUGUUCCGCUAUUUGACAAUUUCAUAAUCAUUUCGUGGAGAUGUUCAUAAGCCGCUAAAAAAGAUUAAAUGUUGAUUUCGUGGUUGUGCUUGAGACGCUUUGAGUUGCUCAGACUCUGCUCUUUGUUCCGCUUUGAGUUGUGUGUACUCCGCUUUUAGGUUAUCGUAUUUCUCGGUGAGUUGCUGCAAAGCCACGAACUCCUUAGAUUGGGAGCUCGAUAUUGAUUGGGAGCUCCCAACGGUUGAAACACUACGGGUCGACCGCAAGUUGUUGGCCGUAGUGUUGGAGAGCCCGUAAACCCGAUUUUUAUCGGGUCCACCUGACGAGCCAACCUCCAUCCACAAAUCUAGAUCGAAUUCCGAAUGGGUCAAAGUAUCAUCCCCGUAUCUCUCCCUCAACCGAUUAUUAUAGGUCUCCUGAAAAUAAAAAUAAAAAGUAAUCAUCAUAUUCAAUACAAUAAACAUAAUAACUUACAAAAUAAAAUGGUUGAACAAACAUACCACGAAAUGCUGAGCACGGUUAUCAACGAACUAUUGCGCCCCUUUCUGGCGGUCUUGACUCCGCACGUGCGUCUCCACAAACAGCUCCAUCAGGCUCGGCUCACGUCCAAGAGACGCAGCCUAUAAUGAAAAAAGAUAUAUUAACAACAACUGAAUUUAACGAUAUAUUUCAUUUAAAUUAAUCUUACCAUCCGUUUCGCAUGUGCAGCAAACGGAAUGAAGCCGCCAGUGUGCGUUGUCACCCUGCCAUGAAUUGGCCGAUUCCGGUUGCCAGAACCGGACUGUGAGCGUCGUGUGAACCGCUCAGACGUCAUGUGCUCAAGAUAGUGCGGCCAUAUAUCUUCCGGGAUGUAUAUCGGUUUGAAAUCCCUCCAAACCGCAACAUCGUUCCAGCCUUGGAAACCCCUAUCCCUCGCGGUUUUUUUUGCCUUUUUCUGUGCUUCAUACCAAAAAUCACGCAACCUACUUCACGCAACCAAAAAUUACAUUUCGAAACAUAAAUUUUUGUCUAAAAAAAAACAUGUAUUGUUUUCGAUCUUACCUAGUUGCCGCGUGAUUUUCCCACACCCUCCUCACAACAGUGUUAUGCUCAAUGUCCCAGCAGAAUUUGUGCUGUGUAUAAAUAAACAAGUUUAAAUAAAAAUAAUACAAUUAUAUUAAUAAGCUGAAAAUUAUAAAUUAAUACCAACCUCAAACCUGUUAAACCAUGCAUUGAUUUGAGGCAUCCAUUCAGGAUGCUUGGAUAUCUGACUCCAUUGAAACAAUGGAAUCUCCAUCGACGAUUUAAACGCCGAUGAUAUUACUCGAGCGGCUUCAAUGUUUGUGAACCUGAAAAUAAAUGAAAUAAAUUCAAUAGUGAUUACUUCAUAAAUUAUGUUGUAAUUUUUUUUUAAAAAAACUAAAACCUUAACAAACUUACAUUGAAAGGUCGUCCUUCCACUGUGCUCGUACUUGUGGGUAAAUUGAUUCCGCUGCGAAGGCACGCCGCCUCUGCGUUGUGAAGUACCGCUGGAAGAGGCAACAUCGGUUGACGGCGUAGGUAGUGUAGGUGCCUCUUCUUGAGAGGCACCUAAGGAAAUAUCAUCAUCGCUGCUAGACGAACUAGCUGCGACCGCACCUGAGCGACCAGCUCUGGUUUUCGUUCUACGCAUCUACACAAUUUGAUACAAAUAAUUAUAUAAUUAAAUUCAAAUGUAAAAAAAAAAAUUCGAUAGCACCUCCCCUAUACCGGAUACUACCCAAAUCCACAAACAUGCACAUAUUAACAAUAGCCACAACAAAUUUACCCAAUCUUUACUAAUUAUUCCAACAUAUUCAAUUAGUAAUCCUAAGGUAAAUUCAACAUUAAGAAUUACAAUUCAAGUAAUUAUUCAAUAAUUAUGUCAAUACAACAAAACAAUAAAUAAAUAAAAAACUGUAGAAUAACAAUCAAAAUAAAUGGAAAAAAUUAAACACAAAGCAUGUAAUAAUAGAGUAAAACUAAUAAUUAUUCCAACAUAUUCAAUUACUAAUUCUACGGUAAAUUCAACAUUAACAAUUACAAUUCAAGUAAUUAUUCAAUAAUUAUGCCAAUACAACAAAACAAUAAAUUAAAAAAAAAACUCUAGAAUAACAAUCAAAAUAAAUGGAAAAAAUUAAACACAAAUCAUGCAAUAAUAAAGUAAAAUUAAUAAUUAUUCCAACAUAUUCAAUUACUAAUUCUAUGGUAAAUUCAACAUUAACAAUAAAUAUUCAACAAAUUAACUAAUAAUAAUUAUGCCAAUACAACAAUAAAAAAUAUUCAAUAAAUUCAAAAAAAAAAACUAUAGACUUUAGCAAUGAAUUAUGCAAAAAAAAAACUAUAGACUUUAUCUACAUUACAAAAAAUACACCAAAACAAAAAAAAUAACCAAAAAAAUAGCAAAAAAAAACUAUUAAAGUAAAAUGAAAUAGAGGAAACACUAACCUUUUAAACUGAUGAAGAUGAUGAAGAAAACUUGCUAGAGAUUGGAGGUGAAAGCUUUGAAGAAUGGAGAGGAAAAAAAUCAAAUUCUUAAGGUAAGAAACGAAGGAGAAGAAAAAAUGAACUAAACGGGCGGUCACUUGAACUUAUAUGGCAGUUUUACCGACGGCUUACCGACGGCUUCACCGACGGAUAUAAAAUUAAUUAUUAUUUUAAUUUAUUCCGUCGGUGAUUUGUUAAAAAUCAGUCGGUAAAUUUUGAAUUUCGCACCAAAAUUUUUAAUGACCCUCCAUAUUUUUCGUGGUCCGUCGGUAAUUCCAUCGGCAAGAUGACGCGGUCAGAGGUGCAUUUAAUGCACAACCCUUUGAAAUUCGCGCGGUCUGUCGGUAAUUUUGUCGGUAAAAUGGACCCGCCGACAACUUACCGACGGAUUUAAAUGCGUCGGUGUGGCCGUCGGUGAUAGGGUGGCAUUUCAAGUAAUUAUUUUCGAACUCUCUGUGAAAUGCCGACGGACUUAAGGCCGUCGGUGUUGCCAUUUCAAGUAAUUAUUUUUGAACUCUCUGUGAAAUGCCGACGAACUUAAGGCCGUCGGUGAUCGGGUGGCAUUUCAAGUAAUUAUUUUCGAACUCUCUGUGAAAUGCCGACGGACUUAAGGCCGUCGGUGAUGGGGUGGCAUUUCAAGUAAUUAUUUUCGAACUCUCUGUGAAAUGCCGACGGACUUAAGUCCGUCGGUGUAUCCGUCGGUGAUCGGGUGGCAUUUCAAGUAAUUAUUUCAUGCCACAAAAUAUAUCAUCCAUGAUCAAUAAUUAUUUCAAGUAAUUAUCUCAUAAUUGUGGCAUUUCAACUAAUUAUUUCAAGUAAUAAAUAUUUUGUGUUUCAAAAUAUAUAUAUCAUUCAUAAUCUAAAUUACAUGAAAAAAAGGGUUUUACAUAGGGCUUUAUUUUGGUAGUUAGUCAGAAUUUUCUUCUUCAUCAUCAUCAAUUGAAUUGUCAUCACCUUCAUCGCAAUCUGCAAUAUGAAUAUCAUCUUCUUCAUCGAUAUUUGGUUGUCCGCUAGAGCUCAAAACAAAAUUUAACUCCUCUGCGUCAACAUCAACAAGACUAUCAUCGAAAACACGAAAAUUUGAAUUUUCUUCCAAUUCAAUCGAAGGAGCAACUUGAUAUGGUUCAACCACCUCACUAACUUGAAAGACUUCAUCCCGCACACUUGUGUCUUCGUUCUCAUCCUGAACAACCUCGACACGACCCCGGGGUUUCAUUUUUAAAACGGACAACCAAUCCACUCUUGAUCGAUCCUUUCUAAAUGAAGGGGUGUAUGUGUAAUAAACUUGUUGACAUUGCUUUGCGAAAACAAAGACAUCGUUUAUGUUGCGGAGUCUAGCUUUUGAGUUGAUUUCGACCAGACCAUAGUGCAGAUCAACUCUGAUUCCUCUGUCAGUCGUGUCAUACCAAUAGCAUUUGAAUAAAAACACUAUAUUCUGCUCGUUAUGAUAUUGCAGUUCGACGACCUCUUCUAAUCUACCAUAGUAGUCAACUUCUAACUCACUACUAGUGGAUCCCUUAACACAAACACCGCUGUUGUAUGUCUUUCUUCCUUGCCCGUAUUCUUCAGUAUGGAAAACAUAUCCAUUGACAAAAUACCCGUUGUAGCACUUACAUUUUCUUUCAGGCCCCAGGCUUAGUGAAGACAAUGACUUAGGUGCACUCCUUCCCAUUUGAUAAACCUUGUAUGUAAUGUACAUCAAUAAACAAUAAAUGAACGAGAAUCUCGUAAUGACAUACAUACGUACAGUAAUUUUGCAAGUUAGAAUGAGUUUGUGAUAGUGCUUACAUGUGUUCUGAACCACGUGGCAAACUGCUCAUCUUGUAAUUGAAAGAUCUGGGAUUCGGUCAGCUGUGAGUUAUUGGAUAGCAAAUAUUGACGAUGUUGCCUGCAAGUGAUAAUGAGUGUAUGAUAUUACAAUAUAUAAUUAACAGUAUAUUACUAACAAAGUUUAAUUAGUAUAAACUUACUGAAUAAAAGGUCUCAGCUCAUCACAGUUAAAUAGAACAUAUCGAAGCCUCAACAUGCGCCUUGUUCUUAACCUUUUUCUUGAGAUUAAACAAGUACCUGCAUUGAAAUAUUAAUCAAGUAUUUUCAAUUAAGAAAAACAUAUAAAAUACUUUUAUAUAUGAAUUACAUUGCAACUGUAAUAUCUAACCGUUCGAAUGGGUACAUCCAUCUAUAUUGGACCGGUCCUCCAGCUUUUGCCUCGAACGGUAGAUGUAUAGGGAGAUGCUCCAUUAAGUCAAAAAAUGAUGGAGGGAAUAUCAUCUCAAGUUUGCAUAGUGUCUCGACGAUAUUCGUUUGAAGCCUCUCAAUGUGAUCAACAUUCAACUUGCUGGAGCAUAUAUCUCUGAAGAAAUGACUGAUCUCCGUGAGUGCAUCCCAUAUUCCUUUUGGCAACAAAUCACGAAAAGCUAAUGGGAUGAGUGUUUGCAUAAACACGUGGUAGUCAUGACUCUUCAUUCCAUACAAUCUGCAAUCCUCUAUAUUAACCAGCCUUGAUAUGUUCGAUGCAUGUCCAUCCGGAAAACGCAGACUCUUAAGCCAUUUGUAGACUAGCAGUUGUGCGUUUUUCUCUAACACGAAGCUUGCUCUUGGUUUUGCGACCCGUGACUCAUCAUAAACCAACUCCAUAUUUUUACGGUUACAGUAUAAAGCUAUAUCCAAUCUAGCCUUAAUGUUGUCCUUUGUCUUCCCCUUCACAUCCAUGACGGUGUUGAAAAUGUUCUCAAACAUGUUCUUUUCGAUGUGCAUGACGUCAAGGUUAUGCCGGAGCAGAUUGGUCUUCUAAUAAGGAAGCUCAAAAAAGAUACUUCGCUUUACCCAAUUAUGGGUCAAACCAAAACCAGGAAACUUUUGCUUACCUGAUUGAAGGCCAAACACAAUGUCACCGUACUCUGAGACAACAUCAUGCAAUUCUUCACCAGAAAGACGCGGGGAUGCAACAUCUUUUUCUACUCUGCCAAUCAAGAAAUCUUUUCUGUUCUUUCUGUACCUGUGAUGAAGUGGCAAGAAGAGACGGUGACAGUCAAAAAAAGAAGCUUUACCUCCGUUUGCUAGCGUGAAUGCCUUGUUGUUUUCCAUGCAAUAUGGACAUGCGAGUUUCCCAUGCGUGCUCCAACCAGAAAGCAUUCCAUAAGCCGGAAAAUCAUUGAUAGUCCACAUCAAUGCCGCCCUCAUAAGGAAAUUUUGUUUCCUUGAUAUAUCAUAAGUCAGAGCUCCGGAGGACCACAACUGCGCCAACUCAUCAAUCAACGGUCGAAGACAAACAUUUAUAUUCCGCCCCGGGCUUCUUGGACCGGGUAUGACAGUAGAUAAAAACAUGAACUCCGGCCUCAUACACAUUCCUGGUGGCAAGUUAUAAACUGUGAGUAUGACCGGCCAACAAGAAUAAGAAGCAGCAAAUGACCCAAAUGGGUUGAAUCCGUCUAUACACAACCCAAGACGCACAUUCCUUGAUUCAGCUGAAAAGUGAGGAUGAACACUGUUAAAGCGUUUCCACGCUUCGCCGUCAGAAGGAUGAACCAUCACUCCAUCAACCGCAUGGUGUGCUUGGUGCCAUGUCAUGUGCUUAGCAGUCCUUGGUGACAUGAAUAACCUCUGCAGUCUAGGUGUGAUCGGGAAGUAUCUAAGUUUUUUAUAUGCCACUAGAGUCUUUCCCCUGCCAGUUCUAGGUUUGUAACGGGAAUGCCCGCAUGUCAUGCACUCGGUCAUCUCAGCAUUUUCAAGGUAGUAUAACAUGCAGAAGUUAGGGCACAUGUCAAUUUUUUGGUAUCCUAAACCGAGGGGUUUCAUCAUGGACUUCGCAGCAUAGAAGUUCUCUUUCAGCCUGUUCCCUUCAGGUAAAAUGCUUCUUACUCAUUCAAUAAUCUUGUCAUACCUGGCCUCACUCAACCCGUGAUCUGACUUAAUGGUGAACACCUGUGCUACGGCCGAUAAUUUACUGUGGUUCGUGUAGCCAUCCCAUAAUGGUUCGUCAGAAUCUUUCAACAAAUCAAAAAACCUAGCUGCAUCUGCAUUAGGUUCUUCUUCUACGAUUGGACAUUGACUGCCAUUACCUUGAUUCAUUCUCAUUGCAUCCAUAACCAUAUUUCUGUAAGGAUUAGUGUUGUCAUUUGCCGCUUCAUGCACGUUGCUAGCACUAGAAGUAGACCCAACCACCGUUUCUUCCAUUCUCCUCUCACUCUCGCUAACAAAUACUUCUCCAUGUGCAUACCAACACUGGUAAUUCUCCAUAAACCCUUUGUGUAGAAGAUGCAUCAUUACAACAUCUGGAUGCAGGUACUUUUUAUUUUCACACUUCCUGCAUGGACACCUAAUACCGCCUCCAGUAAAAUUUCUGGGAAUAGAUGUUGCGAAAUUAAUAAAACCCUGAACCCCGUUACAAUAAUCCAUCCUCCGCAAUCCUUGGGGUGAAUCUCGAUACAUCCAUGAACGAUCAUCCAUGACUUAUAUCGAACCUCUAUAAAAUUAUGAUGACAUCAUGUAUUAAUUAAUUAAGUUAGGUAAAUAAACUUGCAAAAAUAUUACUUUACCUCGAGAUUAUCCAACAAACCAAUCACAACUUUUCAUAAAUAUUAAAUAUUCAUUAUUAUUUAUCAACGUCCAUACAAAUUAAAAUAUAUAAAUUUACAGAAAUUACCACUCCGCAAUACCAUUGAUAAAACUUUAAACGGACCCAUUAAGCAAGCUAUUAAUUAUUUCAAAAUAGCACAUGUACUUCGGUAGUUCCAUAAAGUUUUAACAAUUUACAAACAAAUACAAUCUUACAAAAUCUAAUAAACCAUAACAGGUAUAGAAUUAUACAUUCAUAUACUACAAGUUUGUUUGAGAAAUAACAAUAAAACAUGUACAUCUACUACCAAAAUACAUAUACUAAAAAAAAAAAAUUGACAUUUAAUUAAAUGUUAAAAUUUAAAAAGAUAGAAUUACUUACAAAAAUUGAUAAAAUCCGUCGGUAAAUCAGAACACGGAUGCUGUGACCACAAAACUUCAAGAAAUAUAACUUGUUGUGCUGAUAUGAGGAAGAUUUUUUUUUUUUGGGGGGGGGGGAGGGGGGGCUGGUUGUUUGCAGAUGGGGAGAGUUGGGAUUAGGAAGAAGAAGGAGAAAUAGGGGAGGAGUGGGUCGCCAGAGCUGUCAUAUAUUAACUUUUUCCGACGGUUUCACCAACGGAAUUUCCGUCGAUUAAACCGUCGGUGAUUCUGACGAAAACAUAGACACGUCACCGUACGGAUCUGCCAUUUCAAAUCCCUCGGUGAGUCCGUCGGCAAUUUAAACGGCGAACCGGUCACGUCACUGUACGGGCACUGCACGGACUGUCGUUUUGAAUCCAUCGGUGAUUCCGUCGGAAAACAAAUAACCCGCCAAAACCUCCACGUCAGCGACCCGCCUUUUUUUUUAAUUCGGAAACUUUUCCGUCGGUAGUUACCAACUGAAUUAUGGACGGAAAAGUGUCCGUCGGUAAUUGCGACCUCAAAUUACCGACAGAAAUAGUCCGUCGGUAAAUCCGUUGGUAUUUAGCGAAUUUCUGGUAGUGAACCAGGAAACUUCUUCUUACCUGAUUGGAGACCAAACACAAUGUCACCGUACUUUGAUACAACAUCAUGCAAUUUUUCACCAGAAAGACGCGAGGGUGCAACAUCUUUUUCAACUCUGCCAAUAAAGAAAUCCUUUUUGUUCUUUUUGUACAUGUGAUUCGGUGGCAAGAAACGACGGUGAUAGUAAAAAAAGAAGCUUUACCUCCAUUUGUUAGUGUGAAUGCCUUGUUGUUAUCCAUGCAGUAUCGACAUGCUAGUUUUCCAUGCAUGCUCCAACCAGAAACAAUUCCAUAAGCUGGAAAAUCAUUGAUAGUCCACAUCAAAGCCGCCCUCAUAACAAAAUCAUGUUUCUAUCAUGUGAUUGGUGCCAUGUCAUGUGCUCAGCAGUCCUUGGUAACGUGAAUAACCUCUGCAAUCUAGGUACUUCCCAAUCACACCAAUAAAAUGAAGUGUUAGAGAAAAAUAGGGAAAAAAAUGCUUCUUCACUGGCAACCAAAAUAAUGUCAUAUCAUUAUCAGCACUGAGAUCCCGUCCCAGAGCACUACUUAUGAUAUAUUAAGAGGAUUUUUAUUGCGUUUGCAAUUAAUUCUAAGUGAAGUAAGGAGUUUUAAGAUUAAUCAUGGUGUUAAAUCCGAUCUAACUUGAUGGUUAACCCAUAACACCCAAAACUCAAGAUGAGUUUCAAGUUAAACUAGAAAACAUUGAGUAAAGAAGAUCUAGGUGAUUCAAUUAAAUUUUUAGUUAUUCAUUUUAUUUGAUCAAACCCAAUAAACUUAACUUGGCGUAGUUUGACCCAUAACACCCCCUACUCAAAAUAAGUUUCAAGUUAAACUAAAAAAAACAUUGAUGAAGGAGGACUUGGUUGAUUCAAAUAAGUUUUUAAUUAUUUAUUUUAUUUGAUCCAUCUAACUUGUCAAAGAAUCAUUUUAAUCCAAUAACUUAAACUGUUAGAUGAUGUUUCAAGAUAUGAUUUAUAUUAUUCUCUAACACACCCCUCAAGUGCAAGCUCUUUGGACUUCAAAUUUGCACAAGUUCACGCUACCUUGUGCUUAAUUUUUGUCAUAUAAAUGGGAAUAGUGAGAUUCAAACUCGUGACCGCUUGGUCAUCAAAGCUCUGAUACCAUGUCAGAGAACCAUCUUAACCCAAUAGCUUAAACUGUUAGAUGAGGUCCCAAUAUAUGAUUUAUAUUAUUCUCUAACACAACUAAACUCAACCUGACCAAUACUAAAUAAAUAAUAAUAAUAAUAACAUUAUUUUAAUCUAUUAAUCUGAAUAAACCUAAUAACUCAGUCAUCCAAGUUUUUUUUUUUUUUUUAAAUCAAGUAUGAAAACUAUGAAAGCAAUGCAAAACAAAUGCAUGAAGCCGCUCAAUAAUGGGUAUAUUAUUUGUUUUUUGGAUAGCGAGAGAAAGCUCAUAAUUCCAUCACCAGGUAUUGUAAUUUGUAAAUGAGAAGCUUUAAAAAUAAACUAGAAAGGUCGCCCAGUUUUAACAGGGAAUAUGUGUGCAGCAACUAGCUUCAACUAUGGACCGGACCAUCAGAGGCCCAGCUAUAACAGGGAAUACACGUACAGCUACUAUAGUAUUAACAAAAACAAAAAAAAGUAGGGGUGAUCAUUUUCGGUUCGAUUCGGUUUUUAUCAAAAAAAGUAACCAAACCGAAAUUUUUUUUUUUUGAAAAAAAAAACCGAAACCGGGUCAAACCGACCGGUUUCAGUUCGGUUCGGUUCGGUUUUUUAGGGCAAAAACCGGUUCAAACCGGUUUUUCCGGUUUUGGCUCGGUUUUGGCUCAGUUUUUUCCGGUUUUGGCUCGGUUUUUUCCGGUUUGGUUCGGUUUUGGCUCGGUUUGGCUCGGUUUUUUCAGUUUUUUGUCGGUUUCGGUUCGGUUCGGUUUUAUGUUUAUAAAACCGAAACCGAACCGAACCGGCCGGUUUUUUCAAAAAUUUAAUCGGUUUAAUCGGUUAUUUUUUUCAGUUUGGUUUUUUCGGUUAUUUUUUUUCCGGUUUUCUCUGUUUAAUCGGUUUUCCGGUUUUUUUGCUCACCCCUAAAAAAAAAGUAGAAGGUUGGUUUCACAGUUCAUUUGAACAUUUAAUAAGGUUGAUAUAUUAUUCAAAUCUUUAGAUAACAAAUUGGUUGUGUGGUUUACCUGGUUGACGUGUGGUGCUGAUUGAUGCAAGGUCUCCGGUUCAAGUGUUGUGGUUGUCGCUAUUUUUUGUUAUGUAACAGGUGCAAAAUUGUUUGCUGCAAAACAAGAUCUCAGUUGCUUCUACUUAUUCUCCGGACUGAGUUCCUUAAGUUUUCAGCCAUUAAUGUAAUAUCUUGCUGGAUAUUUUUGUUGCAGGUUAAUGAAACUGUUGAUGAUAGCAAACUUGUACUUGCAGAUACUGUAGUUGAUGCCUGUAACCAGGGUGCAGAGGAGGUUCCUUUAAAGAUAAUGCUGUGAUAAUCAAAUUAAAUUUUUUUUUUUUGACUAGGAAUGUCCUAAUAAACCAUAUGUUUAUUAGGUGGAAGUUGUUGGAUCUUCAUAUAUUAUAUAAGUUGAACAUUUUUGUACCUUAAUAUUAGAUCAGCUAUUAAAGUCAUAGGUGUAUAUAUGACCUCAUAUCAUAAUCACUGAGGUUAACACGACAAGGAUAUGGCAUGCUGAUAGUCAUAUGAUCGUUUGACAUGGAUUCGAAAGUAGACAAGUAUUUUUAGUGAUCCUGUUGUGCUAGAAAAACAAGUUUUGAAAUGUUGAAUAAGGAAUUAUUUGAAUUGAAGCAUUGGUCGUGUAUUAACUCAAAUUAAGAAUUUGUUUUUCGGAUUUGAAGUCUCUCGCAUUUAUAGUACAGUUACUUUAGAGCAUCCGCAAGUGGAGUGUAAAGAAGAAUGAAUGGCUGAGAGAUCGAUCCUUGCUUACUGCAGGUUGGCGAUAGGACUGACCCAAUUGAGUGAAUGGAGAGAUGAGCUUUCAGAUCAGUUCUAUACGACCUGCUAACCUUAAUGUCUUAACAGAACUACCCUCUUAAUAAACCCUAUAUGGAAGGGUAGGUUCCUGUUGUAAUUUUCUGACUCACAAAUGUGUAACUUAGUUGAUUUUGCUCUAUCUACACUUGAAGAGGCUGACAUUGCAAACAAGUCUCUUCUUCCCUCAGUUGGGAGUGAGUUUCAUGUUACAUACAAAAUGGUAUCCCUGUCUGUACACCUUUUAAUGAAAAACUGAAAUGCAAGGAACAACUCUUGCAGAUUUGCUAAAACUAGAUUAUGAUGCACAUAAAAAGCAUAUGUUCCAUUGCUUUCCUUCUCUUGAGAAUACAAAAUGACUGAAAGAAAUUGGACAAUGUUUUCUGGAGUAAUACAUAUUAGAGACCACAUCAGCAGCAUGCCAUUUAGCAUGCACCAAGCAACAACUUGUAACAAAACUGCAACAGAAUAGUCAGCAACACACCAGCAGAGCAACCAUUACCAGAAAAUCGAUAAAUACAAACAGAAAUACCGAGAGAAUAUUUUUGUCGGUAAAUUGCCGAUGAAUUUUACCGACGGAAAUAUUCUCUCGGUAUUUUCCAAGGGAAUUACAGUGGAAAAAAAAAUUAAAACAAAGCAAAAAAAAAUAGUGACGUGCCAUUUUUACCAACAAAAUUUAUUCAAUCGGUAAAAUCGUUGGUAAACUAUGAACACUAUUCAUCAUGUCAAUUACAAAGGGAAUCACCGACGGAAACUUCCAUCGGUAUUUUACAGAGAGCUCUAGAACUAUUCACUUCCCAAUUGCACUGUUAAUUAUUGUUUUUUACAGACAAAAUCACCGACGGAUUGAAAAGUCGUCGAUGUUAUUUGGCGGUUUUCUAAAAAAUUUAUCUCUAACACGAUCAAAAGAUUGAUGUCUUCUCCCAAGUGCAGGAGUGUCGAAGUAAUAAAUAACCCGGCAAGACCGGGGUCGAACCACAGGGAGGUGAACUAUAUAAAUUACAAAUAAUAAAAUGAUAUUGAUGUUGAAGAAAACUUUGAGAUGUGAUAAUGAUGAAAAGACUAAACAAGGAUAAAACAAUUGUCAAGGUUAGAGGAUCCACUAAUGGUAUUUAAAAUAAGCAUAGUAAAACUCCUUUUUAUUACUCAACUGGAAACCACACACAAAGGAGGUUUCAAUUGGAUGAUUUAUCAUUAAUAGCUCAUUAUGAAUUAUUAACAUGAUCAUAUUAAUUAUCUUAUUUAAGUAACACCAUAUUUGUAAAUAUUGUCAGGUAUUCAUGAUGUUAACUUAUGUUAACAACAAAUCAAGUUCCUCUCAUAACAACGAUGUCGGCCGAAAACUAUGAAGGAUCAAGCAUUUAUUGUACGAAGUGUUAUAUAACAUAAAUCUAGAUUAAUUAUUUAACAAGCAAGGUAUUAAGAGUGAAUAAGAUAGAAAUGAUAAGACAUGUUAAUAACAAACUUUCUUGGAUAUAAGCAUUGAAGUCCAUGUUAAGUUUAUAUUAUACUUAUUAUAACACCAUUAAUGAAACCUUUUCACCUUGACAUAAUUAACUUAGCUAGACAUAAUGAAGAAGAAGAACAUAAAUAAACAAGAUAAGAACAUAAUUAUGAUAUAAGUUAACUAAGAGUAGUAAAGGAAAUGAAAAGCAUAAACAAGAGAUUAAUAUAACUUGAAAGAAAACUUGAACAUUACAAAGAGAGAAAGCAAGAAAAUGAUCUUAAUCUAAAAACCAAGAUGCCUAAAUACAUGGCAAAUGCCUCCUUUUAUAGGCUAAAAUUCGGAACUAUUGAUUAGAUGACUAACUAUUUAGUUGGUGGCCAACCAUUGACUUGGUGACUGGUUAUUGACAUUGUUGGCUGGCCAAAACGUCAUUGCUAACAUCAGAAUUUGAGCACAUAGUCUUCAAGAAAGUUGUGGGAAAUUGUCUCAAAUUUUCAACAAAAAAAACCAGAGCUUAUUUGGACUUCUAGAACUCGAGAUAUGGGCUAAACACUGAACAGUGUCUAGGCUACAGGACAGAUUCAGACGUCUCUUUUGAUGCUAAGAUUUGAACUUAAAAACAGAAGAUUUGAAUCUUGGACUCUCAUGAAAGUUUUAGGCAUGCGUCUUAGCUUUCCAUCAAGAUAAACCAGACCUAAAUUCAAGGUCUACAACUCCAGUUAUGAUCCAAUAACUGAAUGGUGUUCUAGUUUGAAUUGAACCAACAUCUCUUCUCUAAGCUUAGUCCUCUCUUUGUCUCUUCACUUUCAAUAGCUAAUCACAUCAAUCAAUCCUUUGAGUUAUGGGAUAAACCUAUAUUUAAAAUGAGCAUUUACCAUAACCUAAAGCUAUCUUAUAUUAUAAGACUUGUUACUAUAAAAACAUGCUUAAGUUAGGGAAUUUAAUGCUACUUUAGGUGCAAUAUGAUGAUAUAAAGCCUUAAUGAGAAUGCACUUUUAAGUACUAAUCAAUCUCUUUCCAACAAACCUCACAUAACUUCACCAGCCGUAAAUGACUCUAUCAUCUCCACAACAGACCCCUAAUUUGAUUCUCCAUCUCACACUCCUGUUAUCCUACCUUGUCCCUCUCUUGAUUCAGCCCCUCGCAAAACCACCAGGGUCAGAAGAGCACCACAAUAUCUACACGACUUCCAUUGCAACAAGUCCUCACUUGCUAUGCCUUCUCAAUUGUUGUCCAAGUCUGAGAAUUCAAACACCGGUAAUCUCUAUUCAUCGGCAAACUUUAUUUCUUAUAAAAAAUGUUCCCCAUCAUUCACUACUUUUUCUAGCUCUAUCUCCAUUCAUACCGACCCUAUCACAUACAACCAAGCCAUGAAACAUCCUGGCUGGUGCAAAGCCAUAAGUGAUGAAUUGCUUGCCUUGGAAUAAAAUAACACCUGGAUCGUCACUGACUUACCUCCUGGCAAAUCAGCCAUUGACUGCAAUUAUGUUUACAAGACUAAAUUUCAUGCUAAUGGAACUAUUGAGAGAUUGAAGCCAGACUUGUUGCCAAGGGUUUUACGUAGAAGGCAUGUAUUGAUUAUAUAGAGACUUUUUCUCCUAUCGCAAAGCUUGUUAUUGUCAGGUUCUUACUCUUUAUUGCAACAAUCAAAUGAUGGUGUCUCUUACAAUUUGAAAUCAACAAUGCAUUUUUUCACGGUGACUUCAUAAAAGAAAUAUAUAUGUGCAAGCUGCCUAGCUAUUCUGUAGGAGGCACCAAUCAAGUCUGCAAGCUUCUCAAAAGUUUAUAUGGACUCAAGCAAGCCUCAUGCCAAUGGUAUUCCAAAUUCUCUCUUUCUCUCAUUGCCUUUGGUUUUACACAAUCCAAAGCUGACUAUAGCCUAUUUACUAAGGUGGAUAACAGUUCUUUUACUGCCUUACUAGUUUAUGUUGACGAUAUAAUUGUUGCUGGAAAUUGUUCAUCUUCCAUCGAAUCCCUUAAAUCCUUCCUACACAACCAAUUUAAAAUCAAAGACCUUGGCUGCUUACGCUACUUUCUUGGCCUAGAAGUUGCUAGGUCCUCAAAAGGUAUUCAUUUAUGUCAGAGAAAAUAUGUUUUAGACAUUCUGGCCGAUUCAGGAACCUUGGCCAAUAAACCCCUCAAGCUGCCUCUUGAGCAGAAGUUUAAGCUCACCAAGACUUCUAGAGAUCCUUUAUCAGACCCCAGCUUAUAUCGUCAUCUUAUUGGACGUCUUUUAUACCUCACAAUCACUAGGCUGGAUAUUUGUUGUCCUUUCCAGGUCCUCAGUCAAUAUAUGGAUACACCUACCAACAUACAUCUGGCCAUAGCUUAUCGGGUUCUUUGUUACAUUAAAUCUGCACCUGGACAAGGUAUUUUAUUAUCUUCUUCCUCACAGAUUCAACUCAAAGCCUUCUGUGACUCUGAUUGGGCUUCCUGCCCUGACACUAGAAGAUCAGUCACGGGUUAUUGCAUAUUCCUUGGAGACUCUUUUAUUUCUUGGAAGUCCAAGAAACAAUCUAUUGUCUCUCGCUCCUCAACUGAGGCAGAAUACCGUUCUAUGGCUUCCACUUGCUCAGAACUCACUUAGCUUCGAUAUCUCCUUUAGGAUCUCUGCAUUUCUCAUCCUCAAGCUUCUCAACUUUACUAUGAUAACCAAGCUGCUCUUCACAUAGCUGCAAACCCAGUUUUCACAGAUGGACAAAACAUAUUGAAUUGGAUUGCCAUCUCAUCCGUGACAAGAUACAGGAAGGUCUCAUCACCACUGGAAUAGUUAAUCUCUAUUCUCCAUCUUGUGGGGGGAUAUUAGAGACCACAUCAGUAGCAUGCCAUUUAGCAUGCACCAAGCAAACAACUUGUAACAAAACUGCAACAGAAUAGCCAGCACCACACCAGCAGAGCAACAACAGCACAACAUGCUGCAACCGAAUGAAUUAUUUGUAAUUAUUCCUUUUCUGUUUUGUGCUUAUUUAGUUGAGGGCCUUUUAUCAUAAAGAAAGAGACAAAAUAGUUUGUUAGAUAACUGUAUAUAUACACGAUACUGUACACGAUUAUUCUUUUUAAGUAGAAUACUAAGAGGUUCCCUCAUCCUUCGUGCAAAAGCUCUCUCUCUUCAUCUUUUAUUUCUUCCUCCAAUUUGUUACAAUACAAUGUAAGAUCUUCAUGAUCUUAAUUUUAAUGGCAAAUAAAGGGCGGGAACCUACCAACCUCUUUCUCAUCUUUGUAUCAAUUUUAUGUGUAGUUUUGCUUUAUCCUAUGCUCCAUUCUAGAUAAAUAAUGAUAAGAAAUCUCUAUUUACGUGGGUGAUUGGGUGCAUGGCUGGGGUACAGCUGGGUACAAGGCUUACGUGGGUUACUAUUGUUUUGUGUUUUAUUGAAUUAGUCAAUUAAUAACGUAAUGGGGAAUAGGAGUUGCUGAAAGCAUUCCUCGUCUUCAGCUCCACUACUGGAGUCCCGGUUAUUUUGAAUUAUUGUUGUAUUGAGGUAGCCUAUUUAGGUUCACGUUUUCUGUAUUGAAAAGGGGACAUUGAAUAAACAAAAAUACUCUCCAAAACCUCUGUUCUUCUUCUUUCCUUAUCUUCCCAAAUUCUUUUCUUAUCAUAUAAUCAGAACUUUCUUAAUCCAUCAGCCUCCUUCUCAUCUUUGUUAUAGGUGCAGGUUCUGUGACUGCCUUUUUGCUCCUGUAGAUCAUCUACUCUCCAGGGUAACUCUCUUUUGCCUGUCUUUUCUCUUUCUUUCUAACUCUUGAUAAUGAUUAUAACUUGAAGUGAUUUACAGAUUGAUUGAACUAAUCUUUUUGAAGAGAUGAGAAUGGGUUCUAAGGAUUAGCUGGGUGCUUUCAAAGUUGUAGUUUUUUCUACAAUCUGGAUCAAGCGAGAAGCAAUUUAAGCUCUUUUUUAAGCAACUAAGGAAUAAUGUUUAGCACACAGAGUGUAAUUUUUAAUUGAAGUGGAGAUUUGAAAAUCAUAAGGAAAUAAACGUAUGACCAAACACAGAGUGUAAUUUUUUUUUUUUUUAUGAGAGACAAAAUCUUGAAGAAUUAUUUUUUUUCCCCUUAAUUUCUUAGCACACCAACUCAACAUAUUAGAAUGUUUAAACACACCAAACAUCAAUCAUAUUGCGUUGUUCAACUAAAUACAUCGAAAAACUAAUUUCAUAAUUGAGUCUGCAUUCAAAGGCCUAAAAAAAUAACCUAACCUGAUAUCAUUUUAAUAUUUAGAUAAUUUAUUUUUUUCCUAAUGUAAAAAUCGCUCAUAAUAUAAUUUAUAAUUCCUUAUUAAUGCCUUGAUCCCCGCAGCUUAGCGGCGGGUCUUUCAGCUAGCACUAACUACAAAUUUAUGGAGCCAUGUGAUUUAAAUCGCGGUGCCUGGCCUUUUCUAAUGUGGGAUUUGAUUUUACGAAUCUUUAAAGUUUUAUGGGUUUGGUAAACACGUUGUGCACAAACGUUUUAGAUCUGAGCAUUAGGCCUAAACACCUUGGAUCUGGCAACCAUAUUUGGGUCUGACAUGGUUGCCAGAUCUAGGCCCGGGUCUAACAAUAUUACCAGACCCAGGCACGGGUCUGCCAGACCCGUGCUAGCAUUUGCCAGACCCGCGCGCCUGGGUUAAAAUUUUAAAUUUUUUUAAAAGCAUGAUUGAACUGCAAAAACAAACACUGCCUCAUUCAAGUAUAAUUUUUCAUUCAUAGGAAGUAGAACUUAAAUGCAAACUCUUUUUAUUUGUGCAACUUAUUUUAUAAUUUGUUAUAUUCGAAAAGGAAAGAAUGAAAAAAAAUAUAUUAAGUACUAAGUGAUUUAUUUCAAGUCUUCAAAAAUAAACUUUUAUUUUUUGUGUGCAUUGUGGAUGAAAAUAUAUAUAAUGAAACUAAGCACAUAUAGUCCAGUAUUGUUAAAAAUAAUAUAAAAUAAUGUUGUCAUUGAUGAAAAAUCACAAAGGACCACCCAUUAAAUAUGUUUUUUGCAUUAAAAAAAUAAAAAAGAGAAAAAAAAGAAGAGAAAAAACGAGAGAAGAUAGAAUUUCUAUUGAAAGAAUAACAAAUUUAUGAACAUAAAAAAUGAAUUAUUUUAAUAUGAAGAUAUGAUUCGAAUAUUUAGAUCUAAAACGUUAAAUUAGAAUUUUGUGAUAAUUUAUUAUUUAUAAAUAAUUUAUGAACUUGGAUUUCUAUUUAGGAUACUUCAAUGAUAAUUUAAAUAUGUUUUCUUAUAUAUAUAUAUAUAUAUAUAUAUAUAUAUAUAUAUAUAUAAAAUUAUAAGUUUCAACAUUUUAAUUAUCACCUGCUUAGACUUGGGUCUCGCAUGGCCGUCAGACCCAAGGCUUAUAUACACACUUAAUUAUAUAUCAAAAUAACUACGUGGGUGUUUAAGAAUAUGGUUGUAGUUACUUUUUAAAGUAUCGUUUCACUCAGAAAUGCAUUAAAAUAAUAUAUAUAUAAUUUUCAAAAAGUUAUUUUUGAUAUCAAUAUAUCAAAACGAUCAAAAAAACAUAAAAAAUAAUUUUAAAUAAAACAAAUUUAAAUUUUUAAGAAACACAAUUUUUAAAACGUUCCCAAAUGGUUAGAUAGAUCCCAGCCAUGACUUUCCAAACACUAUUUUUACUCUUUUUUUUGUCUGAAAGACCACACAAUUGAUGAGGUUAUAAAUCCUUCAAAGGCAAAUGAGCUUUAUUAUAGAAAGUAUACAUAUAGGAAAUAUUAUAGGUAUAUUAUAUAGGAAAUAUUAUACUUAUACUCUUGUGUUGUAAUCUCCACCAUUAUUAUUGUAUAUUACCCUACACAUAUAUAUAGAAAAGAUUGACUAACCAAUAUAAAUCAAAAGACUGUUUUUGCAGGUAAUCAAACUUUUAUCAUAAGUCUGGAAUUUCUUAAACUAAAAAGAAGAAAUCAAAGUACUUGAAAUAUUGAUUAAUCACGAUAUCAGACACUAAAUAACUUAUUAUUAAUUUUAAAACAUCAUCAAAUAUAUAUAAUUUAACAGCACGGUAUUAAAGUGAAAGAAAAGAAUAAUAUUGGAGAACCCUAAUGAUAGUCAUCUAGAGAAAGAGAAAUAUAUAAAUGAAGGCCAUUCCUUAUCUCGUUGUUUGGAGCUUUUGGAAUUGAAUUUAAUUUCAAGGGUUAAAUUAAUUUUUGUGUUUAGAGUUUUUUUUAUGGUAUUGAUAAUAAAAAAUAAGCAAAAAUAAAAAGAAAAGAAAAAUAAAUUUUUAAAACUUGACAAAUUAUAUUGAUUAAUAGUUUUUUAUUCACCACUCAUAAUAAAUCAAUUAGUGCUUUUCAUUUUUCGUUUAGUGAUGAGGAUGGGGUGCUAGAUGCUAAGAACUGACUGAACCGAUGGAGAGGUUUUAGCAUACCUCCUAAGAUAGGAUUAGAUGGUCCACUAAACUAAACUGACUUGUAGCGUCUCUAUAAGAAGAUUUCUAAUUGUGGUUACACCUAAUAAACCAUAGGAUUAAAUGGUCCCUUCAAUUAAAAAGUCCACUAAAAUUACAGUUAUGCUAUGUUAAUUACCCAAAGGGUACAACCCCUAGCUGUGAUUAUUAUUCCAUUAGAUAGGCCUCCUCAAUUACCGAAAUACACAGGGGAUCAACUCGUCUUUAUACACUAAAAACACAACUAUAAAAGCAAAUCUUCACGUCCAUUCCUUGUUCAGAAGCUAAUUAGUGAGAGCAAGUGUGAUUAUCGGGAAGAGUUCGAAAGGAUGGCAUCACCAUCUCGGCGUCAUCUUGUGCAUGCCAUGGUUUUCGGCUUACUAGCAAUUAACGUGGCGGCCAAUAUUUAUGAUAAUGAGGAACCUCCUAGGCCACCUCAUGAUCACGAAGACCCACCAUUACCAUAUAAUCAUAAAAACUCUCUAUUUCUGCCAUCAGGACUUCUUCAUCGAGGAACACCGCCGCCGCCGCCUCGAUCACCACUACCUCCAAAUAAGAAGAAAACGCCCCCACCACCUCCAAAAAAGAAGAAAACACAGUCACCUCCACCACCAGCAAAAUCUCCACCCCCGCUACCACGAGCAAAGUCUCCACCUCCGCCACCAUCAGCAAAGUCUCCACCAUUGCCAUCAGCUUCACCUCCGACCUCAUCUUCAGCUCCCAUUUUACCUCCAUUGCCUUCUAAAAUUUCUCUCACUGUCCCUAACUCCCAAUUUAUCUCCAUUACAUCCUUAUACUCCACCGACAUCCUCUCCAAAAGUUUCACGAUUUCCAUCACCAUCCCCAACUCCCAAUUUAUCUCCAUCACAUCCUUAUACUCCCCCGACAUCCCCUCCAAGAAUUUCACCCAUUCCAUCACCAUCUCCAUCCCCAUCCCCAACUCCUAAUUUAUCUCCAUCACAUCCUUAUACUCCCCCGACAUCCUCUCCAAAAGUUUCACCAUCCCCAUCCCCAACUCCCAAUUUAUCUCCAUCACAUCCUUAUACUCCCCCGACAUUCCCUCCAAAAAUUUCACCCAUUCCAUCACCUCCUUAUACUUCUCCUCCACCCCCUCCACCUAUCCUCAAAUCUCCACCUCCUCCGAGGUUUACACUUUCUCCCUUAUUUCACUUUAAAUCCCCGCCACCUCCAUCUCCUUCCCCCCCUCCACCUUUCCUCAAAUCUCCACCUCCUCCGAGGUUUACACUUCCUCCCUUGUUUCACUUUAAAUCCCCGCCACCUCCAUCUCCUUCCCCCCCCUCCACCUUUCCUCAAAUCUCCACCUCCUCCGAGGUUUACACUUCCUCCCUUGUUUCACUUUAAAUCGCCGCCACCUCCAUCUCCUUCUCCCCCUCCACCUAUCCUCAAAUCUCCACCUCCUCCGAGGUUUAAACUUCCUCCCUUCUUUUACUUUAAAUCCCCGCCACGUCCAUCUCCUUCUCCCCCUCCACAUAUCCUUAAAUUUCCACCUCCUUCGAGGUUUACACUUCCUCCCUUCUUUCACUUUAAAUCUAAAUCCCCGCCUUCUCUAUCUCCAUCACCUCCUUCAUCCAAUAAUUAACCUCCACCUCGUUCAAAAAUAUCUAUCAAAAUUGGUCAGUUCUUUUAACUUUCUUUGUAAUAGAUUGUUCAUUUCGAUAACAUGGUUCUUUUUUUUUUUUAAUUUACCAAUAUUUAAUCUCUAAUUGUGUUUUUUUUUUUCAGAUUAUAUAUGGUUAAUGAUGGCAGUGGGUUUCUUCGAAGAGACUUACAUAUUAUAUAAUGCAUGUAUUGAAAAUGUAAUCAGUUGAAGGAAAGUCGAUUGUGCUCCAUCAAUCAUGCCAGAAUAAUAUCAUAGAAAAUUAGUUAUUGUAAUAAUAUAUGGAUAAUAUGGAGGAAAAUAUUAUGUUUGUUGAAAAGCAUUAUAAUACUAAAUGAAUGUCUUUUAUUACAAUAAUUACUUCUUUUUUUACAAUUCUUAUCGUUAAACUUUUUACUCGUCUAAUUUCUUUGGAGAAAAACAGUAAAAGAGAAUUUAGAUAUCAGGACAAUGUUUACCUAUAUACAUUGAAGACUUUCCCACGUGAAAAUCUCAAUUAUUUGGACUUCCAGGUGUAUAAACUUGAUUAUAAUUACUUUCAUAUAUAAUUAGCGAUGUGAUUAUCGGGAAGAGUUCGAAAGGAUGGCGUCACCAUCUCGGUGUCAUCUUGUGCAUGCCAUGGUUUUCGGCUUACUAGCAAUUAACGCGGCGGCCAAUAUUUAUGAUAAUGAGGAACCUCCUAGUCCACCUCAUGAUCACGAAGAUCCACCAUUACCAUAUAAUCAUAAAAACUCUCUAUUUUGUCAAAGAACCAACUCAACCCAAAAGCUUAAGCUGUUAGGUGAGGUCCCAGGAUAUGAUUUAUAUUAUUCUCUAACACACCCCCUCAAGUGAAAGCCCUUUAGGCUUGAAACUUGCACAGGCCCACAUUACCUUGUGCUUAAUUUUUAUCAAAUAAAUGAGGAUGGUGAGAUUCGAACUCGAGACCACUUGGUCUUUAUACACAGGGGAUCAACUCGUCUUUAUACACUAAAAACACAACUAUAAAAGCAAAUCUUCACGUCCAUUCCUUGUUCAGAAGCUAAUUAGCGAGAGCAAGUGUGAUUAUCGGGAAGAGUUCGAAAGGAUGGCGUCACCAUCUCGCCGUCAUCUUGUGCAUGCGAUGGUUUUCGGCUUACUAGCAAUUAACGCGGCGGCCAAUAUUUAUGAUAAUGAGGAACCUCCUAGUCCACCUCAUGAUCACGAAGACCCACCAUUACCAUAUAAUCAUAAAAACUUUGUAUUUCAGCCAUCAGGACUUCUGAAUCGAGGAACACCGUCGCCCCCUCGAUCACAACCACCUCCAAAUAAAAAGAAAAUGCCCCCACCACCUCCAAAAAUUCAUCACCUUCAGCCGCCGCCACAAGCAAAAUCUCCACCACCACCACCACCAGCAAAAUCUCCAACAUUGCCAUCAGCUUCACCUCCGACACCAUCUUCAGCUCCUAUUUUACCUCCAUUGCCUUCUUAUAUUUCUCCAGUUACAUCCCCUUCAAAAGUUCCACCAAUUCCAUCCCCAUCCCCAUCCCCAUCCCCGGCUUCAAAUUUAUUUCCAUCUCCUCCUUAUACUUCACCAGCAUCCCCUCCAAGAAUUUCACCCAUUCCAUCACCAUCCCCAUUCCCAUCUCCUAAUUUAUCUCAAUCACAUUCACAUACUCCUCCGACAUCCCCUUCAAAAGUUUCACCAUUUCCAUCACUAUUCCCAUCCCCGCAUCUCAAUUUAUCUCCAUCCCCUUCUUAUACUUCACCAAAAAUCUCACCAAUUUCACCACUAUCCGCACCCCCAACUCCUAAUUUAUCUCCAUCACAUCCUCAUACUUCCCCGAUACCCACUCCAAAAGUUUCACCAUUUCCAUCACUAUCCCCAUCUUCGCAUCCCAAUUUAUCACCAUCACCUUC
This 52396-nucleotide long non-coding RNA is filed under the name Populus trichocarpa (black cottonwood). RNAcentral's name for it is "long non-coding RNA (PTRI_LNC000262)". The stretch from base 43071 to 43225 matches the Rfam family "MIR2912 microRNA precursor family". Lineage: Eukaryota; Viridiplantae; Streptophyta; Magnoliopsida; Malpighiales; Salicaceae. The record is from RNAcentral.